AUAUACCCAUCUGCAGGUUACGCUUCGUCUAGCCUGGGCUGUGUUUCUGCUGCUUCUUCCUUAGCAAGUCAAUUCAUCAUCGUCCUUGGGGAGCCAACUCUGAAAUGUUUCCCAGUCAAUUUAUCUGAUAAGAACAUGUAGCUAUCUUGCAGAGCUGCAGUUUACCGGGGCCUAUUUACCUCGCAUGAGUGAACCUCUGCAGCGUUUUAAGCACACCCAUAAAAUGCUGGAGUCAUCAAGCAGGUGUAUAGCGGUCCUUCUCCAGUGAGUCGUCACACCUGCGAAAUUCGACCAAACAUUCAGUUAAUAGCUAAUUAUGUCCCUCUUCUGGUACUCAGAGCAGACAUGAAUAAUCUCUUCUUACCUUUGCAGUGCAAGUUUUCAAUAAUAACUUAAAUUGUACAUGACCUGCAAUGCAUUAUUACCUUGAGACUGCUACUACUGCCUAUGAUCUCAACUGGCUCCACACGUGCACUGAUAUGCUAUGCCGGCUAUUCUUCUGAAGAUCCUAUACACCAUUAAAUUUCGUAAUAAUGCAUUGCAGGUCCACCCCCAUGUGCUUAAUCCCCAUCUUGUUUUCUGCUUCUCCUCUCUCACAUCUAAUAUGGCAGGAGAAAAAGUAGUUGAAGUGUAUAUAACUGAUAUUGGUGUGGACACCCCUAAUGAUGGUUCCUGCAGCUAAUUUGCGUGUAAUGGCUCCGCCUGAAAUUAGAACCAAGAGGGAGCCCAGUUAUACUUCAGUUCAGAAAUAUGUUGUUCCUUCUUUGCAUCAAAGAAACAUGAUGAGAAAUCUCAAUCAGAAAGGCAUUUUCGGUGCACCCCCAUGUGAUUAAUCCCCAUCUUAUUUUCUGCUUCUCCUCUCACAUCUACUUUGGUUCAACUAAAUUAUCUAUUCUAUCUAAUUUCUGGUUGCUAGAUAGAUCAAAUUCUCCACCAAAAAUCAUAGUUUUAAAUAGCCCGCUAUAGCCCCGCUAUAGCCUUUUCAGCAAGGUGCCGCUAAAUGGUAUCAUGUACAAAUAUGCCGCUAUAGCUGAUUUAGAGGCUCGCCGCUAUUUGCCGUAGCCCGCUAUUUAAAACAUUGCCAAAAAUCCCCAAAUAUUGCUGUUAUUAGUGUGUAGCGAAGGAUCAGGGCCAAUCAGCACACGUUAUGUCUUAUCAGAUAUAGUACAGCAGGAGUAAAUUAAGUUCCAGUUUAGAUGUACUUACCAGAUUUAAGUAGAGGAAGGAAGACCACAGACACAAGGCCCUUGUGUCAUGCAUCUGUUUGAAUGGGAGCUCUACAAGGCUAGAAGAAUGUACAAGGGAAGAACUCUACAUGGUGGAUGUGAACAAACACAGAGUUAUUAAGCAGGAUUAUAUUGCAGGAAAUAGCAAAGUGGAAAAACACAAGAAAUGAUGUUUGUGUUACCUUGGAUCAGAUUAUUUCGACUCCUGGGAUGGUUCCCUCCAACCCCCUGCACUGCUGUUUUAGCACCUCGCUGCAGUUGUAGAUUCCUAAUCUCUUGAGGCUGGUAAGGUUACGCAGCCCUGCAGGGAGUUGUUGAAGGUCCUUGAAAUACAAAAACUUUAGCUCCUGGAUGGAGGAGAGGAGCUGAAGGGCGUCCUCUUGCUCCUUGCUGAACCGCUCCAUCCCUUCAAGCCAAUACCCAUUAAGUGCCAGCUUGGUGAGGGAGGAAGAGAGGAAUCUGCAGACGGGUGCAGCAAGAAGUCCUGCUAUGUCAUCUGUCCCGAGCUCACGCAGUGUGGAUAAAACAAGCUGUGUCUGCUGCUCUUCACCUCCCUCAGCAACCUCCAAAGCCUGUCUGGGAUUGGGAUCCCAACCAGCAAAGAAUCUAUGGCUACCCCUGACUGUUAAUUCUUUGAGCUGGCCCCCGGUGGUAAGGAGAGACCACAAGCCCUGACAUUUCAGAUCCUCUCCACAAUUAUCCAAUUCUAAGCUGGUGAGAGAGGAGAGGUUUGAGAGGGGCUCCAGGGAGAAGGAGAAGGUGGAUAGGAGCUUCGGGCAGUUCUGUAUUCUUAAUCUCUGGAGGGAUCGCAAGGCUUGGAGCCCUCCUCCACCAGGAACAAGAGUUGGCAGAUUCACCAGGACCAGCUCUUCGCACCAAUAGAACUCCAAUUCCAGUAGUGAGUCACUGAGAUGAGGUGGGAAGAGCAGCACCCCAUCAUCCUCUUCCUCUGCUGCUGUUGUUAUUUCACCUCCCACCAUCUCUGAUGCUUCUAAUGUUUUUUGUUGCACAUCCACCCCCACUACCAGCUUUUUUAUGUUUUGGCAUUUCCAUAUUUCCAAUUCAGAGAGCCUUGGGAGGUGGGGGAGGAGCUCUGUCAGUUCGUCGCCAGUAUUACCAUUCAAGCCUUCGAUCCAGAUAUCCUCAACAGGGAGCUGCCAUUCCACAUCACCCUGACCUCCUCCUAGUGGCCCAACCAGACAAUCUGAAUCAACUACAAUCAGUUUCUUCAGCGAGGUUAGCAUCAGAAGGUGCUUCGACUCCAGAGGUGGGCACUUGUCCAGUCUCAGUGUCUCUAGACCUGUUUCUUUAUCAAAAACUAACACUUGGUCUAUGCUAUGCAAAUCAGCCUUUCCAAUAAUCGCCAAUUCUGCUCCACUGGAUGAUUUUGAGUACCAAAAAUGCGCUAGUAGCUUUACAUUUUGCAUCAUGACACGACACAUACUUUCAAUCCAGGAGAUGAGAAUCACUGACGAGAAUACUCGACAGUUGGUUACCUCAAGCUCUUGUAGCUUGGGGAACCAAUCUAGGGAAACAAUGUGGUUUGGGAAAGGCAACCCCAACAGUCUCGGGCACUCUCUAAUAAUCAGAACUUGCAAAAAGGGGAACAUAUGAGAAUCUGGUGGCAACAACUCUCCACCCAUGGAAGACUCUUGUUCACCACCUGUGUAAACCCAUUUUUCAAAACUUCCAAGGCCAAUAAGUAUUACCAUUUAAGUUGUCGAUCAAGAUUUUCUCAACAGGGAGCUGCCAUUCCACAUCACUCUGACCCCCUCCUAGUGGUCGAACUAGACCAACUGAACUUUUUACAAUCAGUAUCUUCAGCGAGNNNNNNNNNNNNNNNNNNNNNNNNNNNNNNNNNNNNNNNNNNNNNNNNNNNNNNNNNNNNNNNNNNNNNNNNNNNNNNNNNNNNNNNNNNNNNNNNNNNNAAGGAUCAGCUCCGUGCAGUCAUAGAGCAAAAAUUCCCGUAGUGUGUCACAGAGAUGAAGUGGGAAGAGCAGCACCCCAUCACCAUCAUCCUCUUCCUCUGCUGCUGCUGUUAUUUCACCUCCUUCCAUCUCUGAUGAUGUUGAUGUUGUUUGUUGCACGCCCACCCCCACUACCAGCUUUUUUAUGUUUUUACAACUCCGUAUAGUCAAUUUGGAGAGAUUUGGGAGGUGGGGGAGGAGCUCUGUCAAUUCCUCGCCAGUAUUACCAUUUAAGUUGUCGAUCAAGAUUUUCUCAACAGGGAGCUGCCAUUCCACAUCACUCUGACCUCCUCCAAGUGAUCCAACUAGACCAACUGAACUUCGUACAAUCAGUGUAUUCAGCGAGGUUAGCAUCAGAAGGUGCUUCAACUCCAGAGGUGGGCACUUUUCCAGUGUCAGCUUCUCUACAUCUGUUUCUUUAUCAAAAACUAACACUUGGUCUAUGCUAUGCAAAUCAGCCUCUCCAAAAAUGUUCAAUUCUGCUCCACUGGAUGAUUUUGAGUACCAAAAAUGCGCUGGUAGCUUUACAUUUUCCAUCAUGACAUGACGCAGACUUUCAAUCCAGGAGAUGAGAAUCACUAACGAGAAUUCUGGACAGCCGGUUACCUCAAGCUCUUGUAGCUUGGGGAACCAAUCUGGGGAAACAAUGUGGUUUGGGAAAGGAAACCCCAACAGUUUCGGGCACUUCCUAAUAAUAAGCACUUGCAAAAGUGGGAACAUAUGAGCAUCCGGUGGCAACAAGUCUCCAUCAACGGAAGACUCUUGUUCGCCUGUGUAAACCCAUUUUUCAAAACUUCCUAGGCCAAUGAGUGUAAGCUUUAUUAGCCUGCAAAAGCUUUUCUCUACGAUAAAAUCCUUCAGUCUGGCAAUAUUCUCCAACCUUAAUUCAUGAAGAUCCCACGCCUUCCCUAAUGAAGGGAAAACUUCCCAAGAAACACCAUCCAGAUAAAGAGAUUGUAGAGCCUCAACAGCAAACUCAUCACCCAGCCAUGUUGGACAAGACGGACCUCCAUGCCCUCUAAUGCACAACACCUGAAGAUCUCCAUGUGGCUGAAGGAUCUCAAGAACCGCUGCUUCCACGCUAGGCUCAACACUAGAUCGCUCACUAUCCCAGCACAAUGUUAACCUUCUCAGGUAGUUUUUCUCUAUCAGUUUUGCUUGAGCUGCUUCUUCUUCUGUGUGUAUUUUCUCAAGGUUGUAGAUGCCAAGCUCCCUGAGCUUGCUUAAAUGCUCUAGUUGCUUUGGUUCAAAUCCUUCACUUUUUUUAUUGACUCGAAAUACCUUCAACUCUUCUAAGAGUUUAAGUUUUCCCACAUUAUAAAUAUCAGAAUGAAGCUGACCAUCACCUGGGGCAUAAAAAUGGCACAAUUUGGCAAGGUUGCUCAUGUCUUCGGGCAAAUCACAACUCCCUUCCCAUGGCUGAAGAUCUAGAACCCUUAAAUGAUAAAAUUUAGAGAUGUUGAGUGGUAAAUGCAUCUCUCUGUCACAUGUCCCUAGACAUAGGCAUCGUAGGUGGACAAGUCUUGAAAAGUUAUGUAACAUGGACUCCAUGGGAUACAUCAUGUCAAGCAAAUAAAGAACGCGAAGAGCAUUUGCUUCCCAAAGAAAAUCACCAAAUAUCUUGGCCAAACUUCCAUCCAUUUUACCAAAUAACAUAAAUGUGUGCAAAUGUUCAACCUUCAAUUUUGUCUUCAGUUCUUCCAAUUCACUUCUUAAUUUUUCACCUGACACUGCAUCAUAUUUGCCUAAGUCGUGUAUGGUUAUAGACAAGUGAUGGGUGGUGGGCUGAAUUUCCACUGAUCCAACAUUAGGGAGACAUAAACAAAGACAAUCAUGCGAUGCAACCUUCAUUGCCAAAUCAUGUAGUAGGUCAUGCAUAACAUAUAACAAAACACCAUCAGUUUCCUCUUCCUUGAAAAAUCCAUAACUGACUAACUCAGUUAAAUUGCUCAAACCUAUAUCUUCAAAUGUUUGAUUUUGAUCACUAGGUAUCAAAAUAUCUAGUCCGAUCCACAGGCUGAUGAGAUCAUAGCUUCUCAGACGUAUAUCUUCAGGAAUCAAUGCAGAAUAGGAAAAACAUUGCUGGAGAUGGAAAGGGAGAAAGUCAUAGCUAAGCCUCAAGGCAGACAUAAUUCCAUCGGUUUGCUUUUCCCAUUCUUUACUUUUGAGAACCCUUUUCCAAUGAUACAAACUAUGUUCUUUACUCAGUAAUCUACCAACAGUUUUUGCUGCAAGAGGGGAGCCCUUUAGUUUUUCCAUUAUCUUAUCUGCGGUCUCAAGCAGAAAAUGUUUGUCCCUUGGACAUUGCUCAUCACCGAAGAUAAAUGCAAGGAAUAACUUUCUAAACUCUUCAGAUUUUAAACCGUCCAGUUCUAUUGAAUGGCCAGUUGGUUUAACCUUCUGUGCUAUUGCUUGAAACCGGGUUGUGACCAGAACCAUGGAACCUUUUUCUUGUGAUUGGUUGAGUAUCGACAUGAGUUUUUCCCAGUCACCCACAUUACUAAUCUGCCAUAUAUCAUCCAAUACAAGUAAGAACCUUUUAGAUUUCAAUCUUUCUUCAAUCAACUCUUCAAUUGUACUGCCCUCCUUUUCACUUUCAACUGGACGAGUACCUACUUUAAUCUGUUCAAACACCUUAUCCAGAUUGAAAUUGAAUGACACACAUAUCCAAAUCAUUACUGGAAAAUGAUUCUGCACCUGUUGGUCGUGAUAUAUGUGUUGUAUCAGAGUUGUCUUCCCCAUUCCCCCAGGACCCACAACCGGAAGCACAGUCAGACUCUUGUCACGGUAUUGACCCAGGGUGAUAUCAUGUAUGAUGCUAUUCAUGACACGAUCCCUCCCGUACAUUUUUGGCUCAUCAAUUCGACCUUUGGUGAUGGGACGGCUCUGAGCAAUGUCUGGGAUGGUUCUAGGGCCACAACCUUGCAGAAUCUUGGUAACCUCGUUGCGCAUAAGCUUUAGUUGCUGUACAGUGUCCUUCAUCCUUUGGGAGAAAUCCACCCUAUUAAACUCAUGCAUUGGUUUUCCUUGCGCAUUGGCGCCAACUUGAUCACCAUGAACAUGUGGAUGCGGGGAAGAUGAGCAAGGGAGGAGUUUACUGAGCUUGGGCAUGCAUCCACUAAGCUCCUGACCAGCCUGAUUUGAAUCGCCACCAGGUGAUCUCUGCCUGCCACACGGCCAAGCUGCACAACAACUGACAUUUUGCCUUGCUACUCCCUGCCGGUGAUCGCCACCGGUGUUGGCACCAAAGCAGUACGACAGCUGUUUGGCAAGAGCUUUUGCGGUGUGGCGAGCAUUGAGGGCGAGGUUGCAGACGCAGCCCUUGCCGUGCUGGUCAGCAGCAUCGUACGUGCCGUGGAGCUCGUCGUGGAUGCGGAAGUAGUCCAGCUCGUCCAGCAAGUCCUCGGCGUUGCGCGCCGAGUCGAGCAGCCUCUGCAGCAGCUCCUCCAUGGCCGUACCGCAGAUGUCCUUGCGUGCAGCUUGUUGGAGCGUGGCCUUGACGAGCAGCAGUUGUGUGCUCAGGGCCUCGAUGUUGGGACCCAAGUUGCUGGUGGCUGACCAAGCCCCCAGCACGCCAUCUGCAACGGGGCCUAGCGCCUUCUCCACCACCCAUUGUGCCGCACCCAGGGCGGCCUCGGUCAUCGCCGCCUGCCCGCCUGCCUGCCNNNNNNNNNNNNNNNNNNNNNNNNNNNNNNNNNNNNNNNNNNNNNNNNNNNNNNNNNNNNNNNNNNNNNNNNNNNNNNNNNNNNNNNNNNNNNNNNNNNNNNNNNNNNNNNNNNNNNNNNNNNNNNNNNNNNNNNNNNNNNNNNNNNNNNNNNNNNNNNNNNNNNNNNNNNNNNNNNNNNNNNNNNNNNNNNNNNNNNNNNNNNNNNNNNNNNNNNNNNNNNNNNNNNNNNNNNNNNNNNNNNNNNNNNNNNNNNNNNNNNNNNNNNNNNNNNNNNNNNNNNNNNNNNNNNNNNNNNNNNNNNNNNNNNNNNNNNNNNNNNNNNNNNNNNNNNNNNNNNNNNNNNNNNNNNNNNNNNNNNNNNNNNNNNNNNNNNNNNNNNNNNNNNNNNNNNNNNNNNNNNNNNNNNNNNNNNNNNNNNNNNNNNNNNNNNNNNNNNNNNNNNNNNNNNNNNNNNNCCUGCAUCCAGGAAUCAAAAAGGAUUUUAAUUUAUUUUGUUGUAAGCAGGCUGAAUUAUGAAUGGGCAGGGGUAUCCCAACUAGUAUCUGUUGAGAGAAAUUUUCAAUCACAAGAGAAUAUAUAGUCAAGGCACCAGGACAGAGCCAUUUUCAAUCACAAGGGAAGUAUAAUGCUGAAUCAAGUCACGAGAAAAGGGGAGGGCAAAAACAGAGCAGGAGAAUAAGCACAAAUAAUAAAAAUGCUUAACGAAAAUCUUGUGUAUUUCUCUGUGGCCAACAGAGAGAUCUGACCUGCUGCUGCGCCGGUGCGGCUGGUUAGGUUCAGAUACGGCGAGCUGAGCUGCGUCCCGGACGGCGAUGUGGAGGCGACGAGCGGGACGGCCGGGGAGCCAACCAGCUUGAGAUUGAGUGUGGAGUGAGGAAAGUAUCUCUAUCGCCAAAGAUUGAGUGUGGAGUGAGCACUGAGAAGUGGAGUCUCCUCCCCUGGAUCUGGAUCGGACGCACACUGUUGCUCCUGUCUGUCUGUGCUGUGCAAACUGUAAUGAUUAAAGUUUUUCCUUGACUUCACCUACCGCAAAAGUCUCCAACACCGAUCCAUAAAUAUGCUCCAGCAUCUGUCCAAGGAUAUUGGUGCGUAAACUGGUCAUUCAAAAUUAUUCGCAUAUGUUUCAUAAAUUAUUUAAACGGUGCAGACGAUAUUCAUGCAAAGACAUUGAAUUUAAGUAAAGUUUGGAUAUAACUUAUAUAAAAGUCCUAUACCAGACGACCACCUCGUAUGCGUCGUCGCUCCGUCCUGUCGAACCGCCGUCACCCUCCGUGCCGCCGUCGUCGUCGUUGUCCCUCCAAUGGCGCAGGGAUACCGGAGGGGCGUGACAGUCUUGUCCCGCGGUUGCCUACCACUCACGGAGGAGCCGUUCCGGCUCCUGUUGCAUGGUGCGGAGGGCCGCCUUGGCCACUACCGACGGCGUCGACUGAACCCUGGUACCAGCCUUGCCCCUGCCGGCGUUGGCGGAGCAGUUGCCAAGCGACCACUCCUCACCGAUCUUGGGGAGCUUGUUGUCAAGGCGUCUGUCGGUCGUCCCUACGGUGGUGAUGGAGUGCUUGAGCGUUCAUCCCCUGCCGUCUCUUGUCCAACUCCGAUGCUAUUACUUGGGUGUUACAAUUUGCCGUUCGUUGCGGCAAAUUGUCGCCACAACGUGCAGGGCAACACUCAAGAUUGAGCGAAGUGGGUCGACCCAGUAUGCAAGUCAUUUUGUUUUUGAUUUUGGGCACCUUCUUGAAGUUCCACGCCAGUUUUCUUUGGUUUUGGAAACCUUCCAGACCNNNNNNNNNNNNNNNNNNNNNNNNNNNNNNNNNNNNNNNNNNNNNNNNNNNNNNNNNNNNNNNNNNNNNNNNNNNNNNNNNNNNNNNNNNNNNNNNNNNNNNNNNNNNNNNNNNNNNNNNNNNNNNNNNNNNNNNNNNNNNNNNNNNNNNNNNNNNNNNNNNNNNNNNNNNNNNNNNNNNNNNNNNNNNNNNNNNNNNNNNNNNNNNNNNNNNNNNNNNNNNNNNNNNNNNNNNNNNNNNNNNNNNNNNNNNNNNNNNNNNNNNNNNNNNNNNNNNNCAAAUAAAGACUUUUUUUUUGAAAUGGGAACAUCUUUUAGAUUCCAGAACAAAAGUUGUAAAUGCAAACAUUUUUGAAGUUUUGAGGACACUUUUAGUUCUGAACAUUUUUGAUAAAAACAAAAAUAAAUCAAAAUUGAGAACAAAAUUUCAAAUCCUGAACAAUUUUUAAAACAAAAUGAACAAUUUAUUGAAAAUCAUACAUUAUUUGAAAAUGAAAACUUAAGUCGUUUGUUCCGUAAAACUGAACUUUCCAGGUAUACCAUCUAGUCUUCAAGAGGUUUUGGCAGAAUGUAAACAGAAGUGGCUACAAGCCUACUAAAGAAACACAAUAACACGUGAAAAGCAAGCAAGAAGAAAUUAGGAAUGCGGGAGUAGUGAUAGAAACAUAGCAGUAUGUUUGAAAAAAUGAUCACCUAAAUAUCUGUAGCUGGUACUGAUGCUGUACUGACAUGUUGAUUGUGACAAUCAAAAUAGGCACGUCUUUGAAUGACAAAUAACCCAAUUUAAAUGCAACAUAUGAAGCCCAUAAGAUCAAAAGAACACGUUCGCAGAGAACCAAACCAUAUGUUUAUCACAGGUUAUGUUAGUAAUGAGUAGUAAUCAGCCCUGCUUAAAAAAAACGAGAUCAAUCCGGACUAGACUAGCUUGUUGGUAUUUUUUUAUAGAAGAAAAACUCCAUGAACACCGAGUGUUUAGCCAAGGCUCAAACACCGACGGACUGGCUGCAAACUCCAGCGUCAAGCCAACUAAGCUAUGCUCGGUUCUUAUAAUCAGCCCUGCUUCAGCACACCUCUACCCAAAAAGGUAUAAAGGGCAAUAUACAGACGUACGCACUUCAUAUGUUGGACCGCCAAAACGUAUACGCGAUGUGUACAGACGUACGUUCGGCUCCCCUACUCGUCGGACCCUCGCAUAAACAGGAAAAGAAAAGAAAACCAUUGGACUCUCCCGAUCCACAACCGUUGUCGCGACUCUGACCAGUGGCCAUCUCCAGUCGUCGUCGACCCCGCUUGGAUCCCAUUCGUGAGUCGACGUCGGUGUUGAGCUCAUCGACAUCGUUGGACGCGGCACCGUCGACGCCCCCCUCACACACGACACUGUUGCCAUCACCCUCCUCGCAAUUGGCAACGUCAAGCAUGCCGUCAUCAGCGCCCCUCCCGCAUACGUCACCGCCCCUCGUGGAAGACUUUUCAUGUUCAAUGAUCUUUGAUCACUGAGUUUCUGUUUCAGGUGACCAAUUUGAUUUCGGUCCAUUACUUUCUACUAUGUUGAUAAAAGAUUGAAGGAUCGUUGUGAGGCACAUCGAUGUCACGAGGUACCUCCAUCUAUUUACCAUAUUCGAUAUUCAAUUUUCUGUGACACCACUGUUUUUGAGUCGAACGAGAAGACCCACUCACAAUAGCUUAAGAGCUCUUACAGUUCGUCGCUGCCAUCGGCACAUCAGCACAUCGGAAUGGUUCUUAUGCAUCUGGAUAUCAGUUUUUCCUACCUUGUGCGUGAAUUCUCAGUGAACGUUUAUUCAGGCAGCUUGGACCUCACCUUUGCCCCAUCAGCACAUCGGAAUGGUUCUUAUGCAUUUGUGAGUGGCAUUGAGAUUGUGCCCAUCAGCACAUUGGAAUGGUUCUUAUGCAUUUGUGAGUGGCAUUGAUUAAAUAAGGAUUCGGCAAGCUACAAGGGGAGAUACAGCAUGUUACUAUGUUACCUUUUAAAUCUCCCCCCCACAGAACUGAUAGUUGUAGUUACAUUUGCUAAAAUUUAAAGCAUGUGGCCUUUUGGUAUAUGCAUCUUUUGGCAAAAGUCAUUUAAAUUUAUUUGUAUAUAUUUCAAAAAUUAUUUAAACAACACAGAUGAAAUUCAUGCAAACACGAUGAAUUUCAUUAAAGUCCCGAUAUGACUUACAUAAAAAUCCUAUACCAGACGACCACCCCGUAUGCGUCGUCGCUCUGUCCUGUCGCAUCACCAUCGUCGUCGUUGUCCCUUCAGCGGCGCGCAGGGAUAAUGGAGGGGCGUGGCAGUCUUGUCCGAAGGUUGCCUGCCGCUCUGGCUCCUGUUGCAUGGUGCGGAGGGCCGCCUUUGACACUGCUGACGGUGCCAGCGGAGCCCUGGUGGCAGCCUUGUCCCUGUCGGCGUUGGUGGAGUAGUCGCCAAGCGACCACUCCUCACCAAUCUUGACGAGCCUGCCAUCAAGGCGAUGGUGCCUGGCGGUCGUCUUCACGGUGGUGACGGAGCGGUCGAGCGAACACGCGGCGACGAGGUUAGGGUCGUUGCGGACCCAUUCUGGCGACACAUCCGUCUUGGCAAACGCGGAGCGGUGACCGGCAUUCCGCUGGUCGUACCUCACCCGGUGCCUUGAAGCACGCUCUGCAUCGGAUACCAAGCCCUCGAGCCAGAGGCACCGCCUCCUCCGAGGUAGUAGAGGAUGCGAUCACACGCCUUCGCGAUAGCAGUCGAAGACUCCUCCUUUAUCAACAAGGCAGUGGCGACAUGGUGGCGAUGAGGGCCCACCUGUCCGCUUCACGGGGACGGUGGCUCCUCCUCCAUGCGCGUCGGCGAUGGUGUCGCUGGGCCCAUCUGGCGAACGAAUUCUUCGUCUGUCAGAGCCACCUCCGAGAGGAGACGAGGACGCUGCUACGAUUGUUGGCCCUCCUCAUCGCCGGAGGAGAUGACUUGCCGGAGACACCGCCAUGGAUGCGGAUGUGCCAGAAGAGCAAGGGCAGUGCCCCCACGAUCCGCCUGUAGAGGGCGGCAUGUCGUGUUCAUCUUCACACUAUGACGAUAAAACAAACAUACUUCAUCAUCAUCGGCCACCAAGAAUCACCGCCAAAAUCAUCGGCCAAAAGGAAAACAAGUUUUUUUUACAUUGUUGCCAUUUCCUCAAGUACUUGGUAGGGGUGGCCCUUUUUGCCGGCUAAGACGGCCAGACGCGUCGGAGCAUUGGCCGUAAGAGUGGUCGGGGAUGCUGCACGAGGCGCCAAACGUGGAUCGGUGGCCGGAGUGGCCUUCUUGGCCUCCUCGGCGAGGGACGAUGUGCGACCGUCAGUCUCCUAGCUUGCUUGCUGCCAGCGAGCAGCGUGAGGGCGGCAUGCCGUCGCUGGAGAGGCAGUGACCAUCCCAACGCCCGGACGUGCCGGAGUAGUGACCGUAGGGGUGGCCAGAGACGCUGCACGAGGCCCCAGACGUGGACAGGGGGACAGAGUGGCCUGCUUCUUUUUCUUCUUCACAGCCUCCUCGACGAGGGCUGACGCUACGACCAUCGAUCUCCUAGCUCGCUUGUCACGGGCAUGAAGCGGGAGGGCGGCCUACGUCAUUUGAGAGGCAGUGGCCACCUUGACAACCUUGGUGGCGACGAGAGCUGAUGCUUGAGGCUGGUGAAGAGUUUUCAUCCUCAACCUCUUUUUCUGUGCGGGUGGAGGCGCGAUGGUGGUUUUCGAUAACGAUAAAAUGGUCGGCGGGGUUGUGAAAGGGUCUUUACUAGUACCCAUUCUAGUGGUGAGGGCGGUCAUUGAUGGCAACGACGACAGGACGGGGGAAAGAGGCGGGACGUGUUUACUCGGCCGUGCGGGCGUCGAGUAUAUUUAGGCACUAUGGGAGGGGAUUUUGGUGGACGGGUAAAAAAAAUAGUUCCUUAUAGAAUUCAAGGGAUGGGUUAGUUGCGGCUCAGUGGAGUAAACUAGAAAAUUUAUUCCAUUGUAGCUUUUUAGGGGAUUGGCUUCAGAUGCUCGAAUUAACUAACACGGGAGGUCCAGAUGCUUAAAACUGUUGAUUCUGCUGUUUUUAUUUAAACUCAUAUUUUGUUUGAUUUUUCUUUAAAGAAUUCGGAUAUGGAUCUUGAGAAUGUGAGAUAGCAAAUGUUUCUGGAGGGACGGAGAUCCAGUGACUCGGCCGUAACUCGCGGAGAGAUAGCCGUUGGAUGAAGGAUGGGCAAUCCAGAUCAAACACCGUAGUAAAAGUACUGUAGACGGUAAUGUACGCGAAUCACUGUAGCUCACCGACUAUGCACAAAUUCCUGUUGACCGAGAUCCGUUGAUUUUUCAUCAGAAUGUGUGAAGAAGGGGUUGACUUGCACACGGAUCUCAGUCCGUUUUGGAGAGACAUGGAAAGUUUGAAACGAGUCAUCAGCUGGUCCCUGUUCAAAAAAAAAAAGGGGGGUCACCAGCUGGUAUGAUUGGACCGUUUGCUCAACGAGAAGCAUCGCGAGAUUGGAAUUGUGGGUGGAGCCCAACGGGAAGGUACCUUUUGAAGAAUCAUCAUCCUUUAUAUGGGCAAUUGGGCCAGUCUGAUUCCAACACACACAUGCUUCAUUAUUUGAUUUGAGCUAGCUUCCAUUUUGUGCGGUACUCCUACAACAACGUGUUACACACACACAUGCUUUUGUCACGGUCACGCGAUUCCAACACUAAACCCCAAAUGAGCACCGUAUUUGUCCGUAAACUACUUCAAACAAGUCUGCGAAUACGGAUACGGAAGCUGGUCGUCCAACCAUGUCCUCUGAAUUUCUAUCCAUAUUUUUGUUUCUUAUGCUACAUUUUGAGAUAAUAAAUACGUCUUUUAUCGAAAAUAUUUUUGUUUCUUAUGUCUGCAACACUCUCCCCCGUCUAGCCAUGUUUUAAAUGGAGGUAAUAGCACCCCAAGUCCUAGAACUUGCAUGGCAUGUGAUGGUUUGAUCCUAGAACUUGCAAAGUUCACCUAUUUGAUCCUAGAACUUGCAUGUGUGGUGCAUUUUUAGUCCACAGCCAGUCACAGCUUGCCAAGUGGACAGGUGGGUCAGGUUUGGUCAUUUUGCGCCCAGGCCCUUGCGUUUAGCACUUAUUAAUCCGGAGCUGUCGGCAGAAACCUGAGAAAACACCUGCAUUUAAUAACCCUGUGCUUACUUACUCCUCCUCCUCCUCUCUGCUUACCCCCGCGCUGGAGACAGUAGCUCAGCAGCUCCCGUCGCCCUGCCCCUCUCUGUUUAUCUUCUCCCCAGCCUCUGUGUGUUGUUCUUCAACAAGGUCGUUGCGUGCAGCAAUGGUGUCCUGGAGCGAGGGAUCCUACUCCUCCUCCUCCUCUGACAGCGACGUCAGCAGCCCGGUUAGCUUAUCUUCUUCUUCUUUUCCUCCUCCUUCAUUUAGGGUUUGCACAUUUGGGAUUUCCUCACCAGUUAUUCUUUUAGGCUCCUCCAACCAUUUUGUGCGUGGAAUGGAGAGGUCUAGCUGCAGAUCUAAGUGCUAGAUGUGAACAUGAAGCCAUAUGUGAAAAAUAUGUUGCCUUUCAGUCAGUGGAUAGUGGCAGAAGAUUCUUAGGUUAUGCACAAAAGGUUAGUGGAUUAUCAGAUCUACACAUUUUCUAUAUUAUGGUUUAUGUAGCUCUGUCUUAGUAAUGUUUUGAUGUACAGGUUUUGCACAAAGUGUUUUUGUCUGUCUUAGUAAUGUUGAAAAGAUGUUAUUUCUAAAUAUGUGUUGCUGACAUACCAAAAUGGGUAGUUAUUGAGAUAAAAAAAUUGGUAGUUGUUCAGAUAACAUAAUGUUUAUUAUUCAGAUAACAUAAUGUUUAUUAUUCAGAUAACAUAAUGUUUAAUUCAGAUAAGUACUUAUUAAAAUAACUGAAAUGUCUUUCUAUUUUGUAUUUAUAGGAAGGACCUAAAUGUGGCUAUGUGGAGUGGGUUGACCCAGAGUGGCCUCCUCAGUUGAAGACUACACUAGGUAGGCUGUGGGACAUGUAUGAAGAUGAGAACAAGCUUAGGCUUUCUGAUAAUCUUGCUAAUGCAGAAGGAAAUUUUAAGGUGCUGAAAGAGAAGGAGAAGAUGGAAAAAGAUCUAAGUUUUUUCAAGCUUGAUUUUGCUAAGAUGGUAGCUGACAAAGAGCAGGCAUUGGCUGAGCUAGGAAACACAAAAAUUGCUCUUACUGACCUAAAGGAAGAGUUACAGAAGAAGAGCAUUUCAGACAAAUCUGCCACAAAUAUUCAUCAGGUAUUUAGGGCUAAGGCAGAGAAAGACCUUGAGCUCAUGAAGAAAGAGCUUAAGCUCAUGAAGCAGGAGAGGGAAAAAAACAAUGAAAGAUAGUGAUGAGGUUAUGCAAGAGAUGGAGAAACUGAUGCAAGAGAGGGAUGAGUUGAAAAAAGACAAAAAGAAAUUAGAGUACAUGAUUGGUGACCUAUUCAAGCAUAAGGAAGAGACAAAAUCAAAGAUAAGGAAGGUCAGGGAGAUAUUAGAUGGAUUUGAGUGAUGAAUGGAUGUAUUAUUUGUUGAGACCUUAGUAAUGUUGGCUUAUUUGGUGAACUUAUAUAUUGUAACCUAUCUCAUUUGCUGAAUUCUUAGGCUUUAUGUUUAUCCACAUCUUUGGUGUACCACAUUUUGCUCAUUCUAGUAAGUGGACCACAUUUCUACUUGAGGCAUGUUGCUACUUAGCCAACCAAUAUUUCUAUCUUUGAUAUACCAGCAUACCUUAAUAGCAAGAACAAGCAAUGCAUUGCUACUUAUAUCCAUAGCAACAACAAGAAAUGCAUACACAUAGACAAUGAAAUAAGAGUAGGCAACCAUUGCUACUUAUAUCCAUAGCAAUAACCUUAACAGUCAGUCCAAAAGAUUUCGAACUUAUAUGCUGUCAUAUAUAUCAGCAUACCUAAACUAGAGAUCACCCAAUAUUUGUAACUUAUGUGUUGUCAUAUACAUCAGCACACCUAACCUACAGAUAACUCCAUAUUUCUAACUUAUAUGCUUUGAUAUACCAGCAUACCUAACAUCCAGAGCAUCUUCUUCUUCAGUCUUGGGCAUCUUCUGUUGGGGAACGUCGCAUGGGAAACAAAAAUUUUCCUACGCGCACGAAGACCUAUCAUGGUGAUGUCCAUCUACGAGAGGGGAUUUCCGAUCUACGUACCCUUGUAGAUCGCACAGCAGAAGCGUUAGUGAACGCGGUUGAUGUAGUGUAACGUCCUCACGUCCCUCGAUCCGCCCCGCGAACCGUCCCACGAACCGUCCCGCGAUCCGUCCCACGAUCUAGUGCCGAACGGACGACACCUCCGCGUUCAGCACACGUACAACUCGACGAUGAUCUCGGCCUUCUUGAUCCAGCAAGAGAGACGGAGAGGUAGAUGAGUUCUCCGAUAGCGUGACGGUGCUCCGGAGGUUGGUGGUGAUCUAAUCUCGGCAGGGCUCCGCCCGAGCUCCGCAGAAACGCGAUCUAGAGGUAAAACCGUGGAGGUAUGUGGUCGGGCUGCCCUUGAAAAGUUGUCUCAAAUCAGCCCUAAUUGCUCCAUAUAUAUAGGAGGAGGGAGGGGAGGCUUGCCUUGAGGCUCAAGGAGCCCCAAGGGCUGCGCACCAAGGGGAGGAGGAGUCCUUCCCCAAUCCUAGUCCAACUAGGAUUGGAAAGUGGAGUCCUUCUCUCCUUUCCCACCUUUUUUCUUNNNNNNNNNNNNNNNNNNNNNNNNNNNNNNNNNNNNNNNNNNNNNNNNNNNNNNNNNNNNNNNNNNNNNNNNNNNNNNNNNNNNNNNNNNNNNNNNUUUUCUCUUUGAUUUUCUAUCCUUGGCGCAUAGGGCCUUCUUGGGCUGUCCCACCAGCCCACCAAGGGCUGGUGCGCCACCCCCAAGGCCUAUGGGCUUCCCCGGGGUGGGUUGCCCCCCGGUGAACACCCGGAACCCAUUCGUCAUUCCCGGUAACUCCGAAAACCUUCCGGUAAUCAAAUGAGGUCAUCCUAUAUAUCAAUCUUCGUUUCUGGACCAUUCCGGAAACCCUCGUGAUGUCUGUGAUCUCAUCCGGGACUCCGAACAACAUUCGGUAACCAACCAUAUAACUCAAAUACGCAUAAAACAACGUCGAACCUUAAGUGUGCAGACCUUUCGGGUUCGAGAACUAUGUAGACAUGACCCGAGUGACUCCUCGGUCAAUAUCCAAUAGCGGGACCUGGAUGCCCGUAUUGGAUCCCACAUAUUCUACGAAGAUCUUAUCGUUUGAACCUCAGUGCCAAGGAUUCAUAUAAUCCCGUAUGUCAUUCCCUUUGUCCUUCGGUAUGUAACUUGCCCGAGAUUCGAUCGUCGGUAUCCGCAUACCUAUUUCAAUCUCGUUUACCGGCAAGUCUCUUUACUCGUUCGUAAUACAAGAUCCCGCAACUUACACUACGUCACAUUGCUUGCAAGGCUUGUGUGUGAUGUUGUAUUACCGAGUGGGCCCCGAGAUACCUCUCCGUCACACGGAGUGACAAAUCCCAGUCUCGAUCCAUACUAACUCAACGUACACCUUCGGAGAUACCUGUAGAGCAUCUUUAUAGUCACCCAGUUACGUUGCGACGUUUGAUACACACAANNNNNNNNNNNNNNNNNNNNNNNNNNNNNNNNNNNNNNNNNNNNNNNNNNNNNNNNNNNNNNNNNNNNNNNNNNNNNNNNNNNNNNNNNNNNNNNNNNNNUUGGGGCUGUCCCACCAGCCCACUAAGGGCUGGUGUGUCUCCCCAAAGCCUAUGGGCUUCCCCGGGGUGGGUUGCCCCCCCGGUGAACUCCCGGAACCCAUUCGUCAUUCCCGGUACAUUCCCGGUAACUCCGAAAACCUUCCGGUAAUCAAAUGAGGUCAUCCUAUAUAUCAAUCUUCGUUUCCGGACCAUUCCGGAAACCCUCGUGACGUCCGUGAUCUCAUCCGGGACUCCGAACAACAUUCGGUAACCAACCAUAUAACUCAAAUACGCAUAAAACAACGUCGAACCUUAAGUGUGCAGACCCUGCGGGUUCGAGAACUAUGUAGACAUGACCCGAGAGACUCCUCGGUCAAUAUCCAGUAGCGGGACCUGGAUGCACAUAUUGGAUCCUACAUAUUCUAUGAAGAUCUUAUCGUUUGAACCUCAGUGCCAAGGAUUCAUAUAAUCCCGUAUGUCAUUCCCUUUGUCCUUCGGUAUGUUACUUGCCCGAGAUUCGNNNNNNNNNNNNNNNNNNNGAAGAUCUUAUCGUUUGAACCUCAGUGCCAAGGAUUCAUAUAAUCCCGUAUGUCAUUCCCUUUGUCCUUCGGUAUGUUACUUGCCCGAGAUUCGAUCGUUAGUAUCCGCAUACCUAUUUCAAUCUCGUUUACCGACAAGUCUCUUUACUCGUGUCGUAAUACAAGAUCCCGCAACUUACACUAAGUUACAUUGCUUGCAAGGCUUGUGUGUGAUGUUGUAUUACNNNNNNNNNNNNNNNNNNNNNNNNNNNNNNNNNNNNNNNNNNNNNNNNNNNNNNNNNNNNNNNNNNNNNNNNNNNNNNNNNNNNNNNNNNNNNNNNNNNNCCGGCAGAGAGGAGGAGGGAGAGGAGCAGGGCUGCGCCGAGAGAGAGAGAUUCAACCGUGUCUCAAACAGCCCCGAACCUAAUCUAUAUAUAGGGGGAGAGGGAGGGGGCGCAGCCCUUAGGGUUCCCACCCCUAAGGGGUGCGGCAGCCCUUAGAUGGGAGAGGGGUGGCGGCCAGGGCAAGGGGGAGGGGUGGCGCACCCCUCUGGUGGGCCUAAGGCCCACCUUAGUUAGGGUUCCCCCCUUCCCCUUUUUCCUGGUGCACAUGGGCUGGGUGGGGGGCGCACCAGCCCACUUAGGGGCUGGUUCCCUUCCCCACUUAGCCCAUCUAGCCUCCCGGGGUCGUCACCCCCCUUCGGUGGUCCCCCGGGACCACCUCCGGUGGUCCCGGUACGUUACCGGUGAUGCCCGAAACACUUCCGGUGUCCGAAACCAUCCGUCCUAUAUAUCAAUCUUUACCUCCGGACCAUUCCGGAGCUCCUCGUGACGUCCGGGAUCUCAUCCGGGACUCCGAACAACUUUCGGUAAUCUCGUAUAACAAUUCCCUAUAACCCUAGCGUCAUCGAACCUUAAGUGUGUAGACCCUACGGGUUCGGGAGACAGACAGACAUGACCGAGACACCUCUCUGGCCAAUAACCAUCAACGGGGUCUGGAUACCCAUGGUGGCUCCCACUAGCUCCACGAUGAUCUCAUCGGAUGAACCACGAUGUCAAGGAUUCAAUCAAUCCCGUAUACGAUUCCAUUUGUCUGUCGGUAUAGAACUUGCCCGAGAUUCGAUCGUCGGUAUACCUAUACCUUGUUCAAUCUCGUUACCGGUAAGUCUCUUUACUCGUUCCGUAGCACGUCAUCGUGUGACUAACUCCUUAGUCACAUUGAGCUCAUGAUGAUGUUCUACCGAGUGGGCCCAGAGAUACCUAUCCGUCACACGGAGUGACAAAUCCCGAUCUCGAUUCGUGCCAACCCAACAGACACUUUCGGAGGUACCCGUAGUGCACCUUUAUAGUCNNNNNNNNNNNNNNNNNNNNNNNNNNNNNNNNNNNNNNNNNNNNNNNNNNNNNNNNNNNNNNNNNNNNNNNNNNNNNNNNNNNNNNNNNNNNNNNNNNNNGGGGGGGGGGGAGUCCUCCCCCCCUUGGCUCGGCCGACCCCUUGGGAGUCCCUUGGACCCCAAGGCAAGGUCCCCCUCCCUCCUCCUAUAUAUAUGGGGGCUUUUAGGGCAGAUUUGAGACGACUUUCUCACGGCUGCCCGACCACAUACCUCCAUAGUUUUUCCUCUAGAUCGCGUUUCUGCGGAGCUCGGGCGGAGCCCUGCUGGGACGAGAUCAUCACCAACCUCCGGAGCGCCAUCACGCUGCCGGAGAACUCUUCUACCUCUCCGUCUCUCUUGCUGGAUCAAGAAGGCCGAGAUCAUCGUCGAGCUGUACGUGUGCUGAACGCGGAGGUGCCGUCCGUACGGUACUAGAUCGUGGGACUGAUCGCGGGAUUGUUCGCGGGGCGGAUCGAGGGACGUGAGGACGUUCCACUACAUCAACCGCGUUCUCUAAACGCUUCUGCUGUACGAUCUACAAGGGUACGUAGAUCACUCAUCCCCUCUCGUAGAUGGACAUCACCAUGAUAGGUCUUCAUGCGCGUAGGAAAUUUUUUGUUUCCCAUGCGACGUUCCCCAACAUAAUGUUCAUCAACAACCUCCACUCCCUCUUGAAUGAGAGCUUCUUGCCAUUUAUAGUGCCCCUUCCUGUUAUGAUCUGUUCUGCCACAAAUUGAGUAGUGCAUUGAAACACCCUUCCUGUUCAACACUUUUACACCAUGUUUAAUCUUCUCCUCUGGUGUCUUCUUCCUGUUCUUCUUGGGCCUUUCCAACUGUUUAGUAAACACUGGUGGAUGCACUUUGUAAGCAUUCUGUAUUUGCCAAUCCUUUGGGUCUGCAAGAGGGAAAAGAGUGUAUCCAUAUGCCUUCAGAUAUGUUUGAACCGUAUAGCAAUCAUGAACCAUUGUCUCUGGGUCAAUCCUCUCCUCUCUGCAACAAGCUAUGGAAUGGCCGCAUGGUACCCCAGACAUCUGCCAUCUCAUGCAUUCACAUGUGUGCUUGCAAAGAUCAACUGUGUAGCUAGAGUUACCAGACUGAACUCUGAAGAUUUGUUGGCCAGCUUCUGAUACAUGACAUUUUGCAGCAAACUCAGUAUUUUUCUGUAAUUUUUUCCUUAUCUUUGGGCAUAUUCUAUGCCCUGUCCACUUUUCUAUAGCUUCUCUUUGUUUAGUCACUAUCCUAUGCAUGAUCUUGUAGAAGAUAUAUUCAAGCAUACUAAGAACUGCCAUCUCUCUGCCAUCAAGAAUGUAACUGUUAAACACUUCAGAGUUAUUGUUCAACAGAAUAUCACAUUUGGGAAAUGUACUGAAAAAUGCCUUGCACCAGGUCUUUGCCUCAAGUCUUUCAGUCCAAUGGAAGGCAGUUGAGGAGUGAUCAUCCAUUUUCUGACAGUUCUCUCUCCACUUCACCUUGUUUGGUGAUCUUGCAAUGGCCCACAAAUCUUGCUUCAGUACCUCUCCUUUGCGCUUCUCAUUAAAAUUUUGAUAAAUAUGCCUCACACAAAACCUGUGUUCUGAAUCUGGCCAAACUUUGUGCACUGCAUUGAUUAAUCCUUUCUGCUUAUCACUCAUUACUGUGAAAGGAGCAGUGUUGGUGAUGUUCAGAUCAUCUCUUAGAGUUGUCAGGAACCACUCCCAAGAACCAGUGCAUUCUACUUCCACCCAACCCAUUGCAAUGGGGAAAAUGCAGUCAUUUGGAUCAAUUCCAACAGCACUAAGAAGCACUCCUUUGAAUCUUGUUUUCAUGUGACAACCAUCAAUAAAUACAAUGGGUCUACAACCUUUUAGCCACCCUCUCUUACAUGCAUCAUAUGACCAGUACAAUGUUUUCAAACAUUUCCUACCCAAUGAAAAUUUUGUAUCUUUUACUAGUGUAGUUGUCAGCAGGAAUGUAGAGCGAGGGUUUUUGCUCCUUAACUCAUGGCCAUAAUCCCAUAGCCUACUAAACUGUUCUUCCUCAUCACCAUGGAUCUGCUUAAGUGCUUCUGUUCUAGCUCUAGCUAACUUCCAUCUGUUAGGACUAACAUUAAACUCCUUAGUUAUUUUCCUUGCAAAUGUUCCAAGUGACAUCUUCUGGUCAUCUCUGAAUUCUUCAAUGAAUGUCUUGCACAGGAAUUUAGCUGUCAAAUCCUUUAACUUCCAUUUCCUUUGACACAAAUGCAAUGGAUUGAAUGCCUUGAUCACAAAUCCUCCAGUCCUGUUAUCAUUUCCAGCCUUGAGCAUCCAUGGGCACCCUGCCUGACAAAUUGCCUCUAACCUUAUCUUGUCAUUCUUCACCUUCUUAAUUUGCACUCUGUUUCUUAUUGCAUAGGCAGUUAGAGCUUUCCUCAUCUCAACCACAUCAGCAAAUACCAUACCCAAAGUGAAAACAGGGCAUUUCAUGUCCACCUUUGAAUUGAAAGUUGUGAACUUGUACUUAAGUUUUUGUUGUUCUUCAAUGGAGAGGUUCAGAUCUUCAUCUUCAAGUAAAUACUCAGGCUCAACAUCUUCCACCUCUGGCUCAGCUUCUUCAUCAACAUCAUAGUCAAUGUUGUCUUCAUACAGAUCAUCAUCUCCAUCAUGAAUGUCAUAAUCACUAUCACUGAUAUCUGAUUCUUCCAACAACACAACAUCACUCAGCAAGUUAGGCUGGGCAGCAUCAUUCAGGAAGUUUGACUCUGCACCAUCAUUCUGCAAGUUUGAGUCUGCAGCAGCAUCAUUCUGCAAGUUUGAGUCUGCAGCAGCAUCAUUCUGCAAGUUUGAGUCUGCAGCAGCAUCAUUCAACAAAUUUGGCUCUGCACCAUCAGUAAGCACAUGUGUGUGUACAACAUCAGUACAAUAUUUGCAGCAUCAGUAAGCAAAUUGUCUGGUUCUGUGCUAUCUUCUGCAACCUCUGAAGUUGGUUUCUCAACAUUCAAGCAGAUGAUCUUGCCUGAAUUGCUUGCAUCAACAGAACAGUUGGCCUCUCUAACAGGGCUUUGAAAUGAUGUCUCCUUCAUUAUCAAAUCUCCCCUGAAAUUACUCAUGAAGUCUGAAUGGUCAACCAUUAUUAGAAGCACUUUAUGAUUAACACUAGCUCUGAUCACUUGCUGCAGAUCCUCAUCAUCUUUAAUUCUCAACAGGCCAUCUAAUAUUGUCUUGUCAGGCAAACACCAGUAGAUGAUGUGCUGAUUCUUAGGAUAUCCCAACCACUUUAGGUGCUGUUCUAAUACUUCAUAAGUAAAUGUGGCAGGAUCUAAAUAGUCUAGCACCUCCACAAAAGAGUUGUAAUACUCCAUCUCACUGACUGCUCCUAGGAAAAUGCCACCAUGCUCAAUUUCCAGUGUGAAAAAAGGAGUGCACACACUUUUUCCCAUUAAUGAAUCACACACUGCAUCCAAACAGUGCAAAAUUCAGUUAAAACUACAUGAUUUGUUCAGUUACAACUAAGCACCAGAUGCAAAAUCUCUUCUUCUCACAAGAUCUAACAAGAAAAUCCCCCCCCCCAAAAACACACUAAAUAGCAGAACCUAAAUCCAUAGCUUAAGCAUUUAAAACUACAUCAACCAUAAAUCAGCACCAACUCUUCUUCUCUCUUCUUCUCACCAGAGCAAGAGCCAACCAUUAAAUCAGAAGCAGCAGCAUAUGUAAUACUUAAAUCAGAAGCAGCAGCAACUCUUAUUCUCACCACAACAAAUCAUGGAUCAGCAAACCAGAGAGGAGAUCACGGGGGGACAAGAGAGAGCAACGACAACUACCGUAGUCUGGUGGGUAAACAGAGUGCGGCCGGACGAGGUGGGUCGACGCAGGCGGUUCCCGGUCGCCGUAGAACUCCGGCGACGCCAUCAGAAGAAGACAAGCUGACGCGCAUGAGGGAGAAGAAGAAAGAANGGUUCCCGGUCGCCGUAGAACUCCGGCGACGCCAUCAGAAGAAGACAAGCUGACGCGCAUGAGGGAGAAGAAGAAAGAAGAAAGAGGAAAAGCGGCGCACGAGAGAGAAGCACAGAACAAAACAAAAGCUUNNNNNNNNNNNNNNNNNNNNNNNNNNNNNNNNNNNNNNNNNNNNNNNNNNNNNNNNNNNNNNNNNNNNNNNNNNNNNNNNNNNNNNNNNNNNNNNNNNNNNAUAGCAUCACUUAGUUGCGUCACAUGCAUGCACGAGAUCACUUAGUUUGUACUUACCACGUUGCAAAUGACGACCAAUUUUAGUUUCAAUCGAAACCAUAAAAAAAAGGAAAAACAAAAUUGCUCACUUUAUUUUGUUCUCUUCUCACAUGCAAUAACACAUGACUUAGAAGUACAUACUUGCAGUAGCAAGUUCUUCUUUAUUACACCCACCGUAGACGCUGAAGGUGAUCUAUCUACAUCCUGACUUCUGAUCAUAUCCAUGCAAGUCUUGCCUUUCUCCAUGUAAGCCUUUGGGAACUAUUGGGAUAUAUAAGAUUGUCUCGAUAUAUAUAUACAUGCUGGACACUAUCCUCUUGUAGGUCGAUUUUCGUGUUUUCACCCUUUUUGCAAAGUUUAGUAGCGAGAUCAGACCCUCAUCUAAAAAAAAUCAGGAUCUCGCUAAACUUUGCAAAAAGGGUCAAAAUACGAAAAUCGGCGCCUCUUGUAUAUAUAUAUUCUAUGCUACGUACCUGCAUAUAUAGCGUACGGGCUAUGUGUAUAUAUUCUAUGCUAUGUAGCUGUAUAUAUAAGAGGUUAGCUGUAUAUAUUAUAUGCUAUGCUAUGUAGCUGUAUACACAACUAUGUUCUGUGUACCAUACAUAGUUGUGUAGAGCAGGGUACAAGCUAUGUAUGGGUCCAUGCUGUACACAACUCUUGUCCUUUGAUGAAAGUGAAAGCGUUGAAAUCUUAUCUCAGUUGUGUCAAAGACACACCUCGUGCAGAACGAGGAUGAAAGCAGCUUGAUGUCGCACAUUUAUAAUUUAUUAAUUACUUCCUCCGUCCUAAAUUUUUUGUCUUAGCUUUAUCUAGAAAUGUAUGUAUCUGAAUAUUAAAACUUGACUAGAUACAUUCAUAUCUAAACAAAUCUAAGACAAGAAUUUUGGGACGGAGGGAGUAUUAGUUAAAUAGUAUGGAUAUGUGAGGGCCAUGAUUCGCCUUUUAAGUAUACCCAACGUGUCCAAACCCUAAAUUAGUGCUCGGAUAUCCCGCUGGGUAACAAAGCUAUUCCAACCAUUCAUAUAUAGGGCCUAAGACGAAUUGUGAUAUUUACCGUGACUAUCGGUCAAUUAAUAAUAUAUGUAGUUCAUGCUACUAUAAUUUUUUUAUCAUUGGGAACCGUUUGCAUAUACAACUUCAACAAUAUAGUACUAAACAUCACAAAUUAUUAUAUUAUUAGCCCCUAUAUAUUGGGAGUGCCAGUUUGCUUGAGGACGUCGUCAACGUUGACAUCACGCACUCGUUGAUCGAGUGUUCAUGCACGACAUCCGUUGCUACCCUUAAUCAAUUAGUUGAUGUGUGACACUGAAAAUGUUGAAGCUGGUGAGUGUGAACGACAUGGACCAACAAUGAUUCAAUCAUCCACCGAUAAUCAAUCGGUUGCUUGUAGGUAGCUACUAGUACGUACUAUCGAUUUGCUUUCUGUUGCAUCAAAUCAUUGUUGUUCAUAAUUUUCUUUGAGACACAUGGUCCUAAUUAAUUAGAACGAGUUAUUGUUGCUGAAUCGAGACUUGAUGAACAUGGAUGGAGUUUGAUUUAAAUAAUUAGAGGCAAAAUAAUAAUAAUAGUNNNNNNNNNNNNNNNNNNNNNNNNNNNNNNNNNNNNNNNNNNNNNNNNNNNNNNNNNNNNNNNNNNNNNNNNNNNNNNNNNNNNNNNNNNNNNNNNNNNNUAAAUAAAUUUCUUUCCGUACUCAUAACCAUAUUAAAAUAACCUCUUAUAUCCACCUAUCAAGUUGCAUCCACAAGCAUACAAAGUUUCAUAUAUUACACCAGUUUCAUCCACGUGCAUACAAAGUUUCAUAUAUUCGUAUACUACAACAGUUUCAAUACAACCCAUGUUACAAGAAAUCAUCUUCAAGCAUUCCAUCAAUAUUUGCCAAGCUUCCCGUGAAGUGAAGGUAAUCUGCAAAAUGACAAAUAAGAAAGUUAGAAGAAUAAUACUAGAUGAAGUAGUGUAUAUAUAGGUUAUUUCGGAGAGAAAUUAGCUAAGUAUAGACCAUUUAGGAGCUAACUAAGCUAAUUAUGUCAUUUAGGUGGAACCCUAGCUAACUAUAGGUCGUUUCAGAGCUAACUUGGGUAAAAUAGGUCAUUCCGGAGCAAACUAUGCUUAUUAAGCCAUUUUUGAUCUAGCUAGGCUAAUUAUAGGCCAUUUAAUACCUAAGUUAGGGGGAAUAUGUCAUGUUGCAGCUACGUAAGCCUUAUUAUGUCAUUUCGACGAUAAUUAGCUAAGUAUAGGUCAUUUUUUAUUAAAUAGACCAUUUAGGAGCUAACUAAGCUAAUUAUGUCAUUUAGAUGGAUAAUUAGCAAAUUUAGGCUAUGUUGGAUGAGUCUAAUUAAGCUACGUAGAAUAAGAGAAAGAGAAGAAGAAGNNNNNNNNNNNNNNNNNNNNNNNNNNNNNNNNNNNNNNNNNNNNNNNNNNNNNNNNNNNNNNNNNNNNNNNNNNNNNNNNNNNNNNNNNNNNNNNNNNNNAUAUAUACAUGCGUAUUUAGUUUAUAGUAAAAUUUGUAGAAAGACAAAUAUUUAAGAAGGGAGGGGAGUAGACAAUAGCACGGUCAACAACAGGCUAGAACAUGAGCUCGUAGCGACCGAUGACGUACCCUCUCAAACGAGACAUAUAAUGCUCGCGAGGCAACUCGCAAGGCGGCACCAGUAGUAGCUGAGAGCUGAAAGGUUUGUCCCGCCAUCCGUGUUUUUUUGUUUAUCUACGAAACGAGAUACUACCUCCGUCCAAGUAUAUAAGGCAUGCACGUAGUUCUAGGUUAUCAGUUUAACUAGCUAAAUAUUUAUUAUAUGUGAUAAAAAUUAUAUAUUCAGAAACUACAUCUUUACAUGAAUCUAGUGAUAUAUUAUUUGUUACAUAUAAUAUAUAUUUAAAUAGUUAAAUUAACGACCUAGAACUAUGCGCAUGCCCUAUACACUUGGACGAAGGGAGUACUUUCUUUUCAGGCGGUUGCUACGCGUAAGCCGACUGAUUUUUUAAAAGAUCAGUCGCCCGCGAAGCCGUGAGAUACAGGCGUGCAUGGCCGUUAAAAUGUAGGCUAGCACCAGCGCGUUUUUCUUGUCAAUCUUCGCAUCUUCAGCCAAGUCGUUGGAGUAGCAGCUCCUUCUUGGUCAGUAGUGCGGUGUCGUUUUUGGUCACAGCAGCUCCUCCCCGGCCGGUAAUGCAGUGUUGUCGUUUGCCGGAGUGUCGUUUUGGUCAUAGCAGCUCCUCUCCGGCCGAUAGUGUAGUGUCGUGGUUCGCCGACGCCGGAGUGUUGUUUUGGUCGCAACAGCCUCACCACCGUACCAUGGACGAUGCUCUGACGCAACAUUCGAUGGCCCGUUACGAUGCUUCGACACAACACCGACGUCCAACGAUGUUCCGCUGCAGUUCCAUAGCAGCACCCAGAUCUGACCAAACGGGGUCGUCAUUGACGGGCCGGUCCGACUGCCCGCAGGCCAGGCAUGACAUGGACCGGGCCCGACACGACUCAAAUGGGUCGUGCCAGGCACGCGGCACGCCUCGGGCCNNNNNNNNNNNNNNNNNNNNNNNNNNNNNNNNNNNNNNNNNNNNNNNNNNNNNNNNNNNNNNNNNNNNNNNNNNNNNNNNNNNNNNNNNNNNNNNNNNNNGGGCGGUCACCGAACCCGUACAAAUGGCAACCCUUGGGGGCGGUCACCGAACCCGUACAAAUGGCAACCCUUGGGGGCGGUCACCGAACCCGUACACGUGGCAACCCUUGGGGGCGGUUACCGGUACCCGUACAAAUUGCUCGGGGCAAUCUCCACAACCUUAUUGGAGACCCCGACGCUUCCCGGAGCUUCACACCACAAUGAUUGAGCUCCGAGACACCACCAAGCUUCUAGGACGCCAAAGCAUCCACGAAGAACAAUAUCAAGGGUACUAAGUACCAAAGGUAGUAAGCUUCUCAACUUCUCACUUCCACGUAUCACCGUGGAGAACUCAAACCGAUGCAACUAAUGCAAUGGCAAGAACACACGAAGUGGUCAAGUCCCUCACACUCAAAUCCCUACACAACAACAAAAGCUAUGGAGAAAUAUGAGAGGAAGAACAAGGAGCUCACAAAGAACUCCAAGAUCAAGAUCCAAGGGGUUCCCCUCACAUAGAGGAGAAAGUGAUUGGUGGAGAUGUGGAUCUAGAUCUCCUCUCUCUUUUCCCUCAAGAACAAGCAAGAAUCAUUGGAGGGAUAGAGAGUAAUCAAGCUCUAAGAAUGUCAACAAUGGAGAUAGAACAAGAGCUCAACGGAUGGAUAAGUCCAAGGGGGAAGAAGACCCCCUUUAUAUAGUGGGGGAAGGAAUCAGACCGUUACCCCACUUUCUGCCCGAGCUCCAGCGGUACUACCGCUGGCUGCAGCGGUACUACCGCUGGCACUCCAGCGGUACUACCGCUGGGCUCCUGGUAGUGCAACGGCACUACCACCGCCAAGAAAGUCUUCGCAAAAAGGUCCGUCCACGAACAACCGCUAGGCAGGCGGUACUAAGCUCCUGGAGCGGUACUACCGCUGACCAGGGGCGGUACUACCGCGAGCCAGCGGUACUACCGCUAGGGCCAGCGGUACUACCGCCAACUCUAGCGGUACUACCGCUAGGUCCAGCGGUACUACCGCUAGGUCGAGCGGUACUACCGCUCGCCACUGAAACAGCCAUAACUUUCGCAUACGAGCUCCGAAUCGAGCAAACCCAAGCUUGUUGGAUUCAGGACGACAAGGGCUAUCCAAACAGCGACUGGAAAUCUUAAGACCAUGCGGUUAUGAAUAUGCCAAAGAUAUAGAGAUGUGAGAUCUCUAUGAAUGAAGAACCGGCAAAAACUCCAACAUCGAAAACAUCAUAGUAGAUGCAUAUGGACUCCGUUUUCGAUGAACUCGAGCUUGUCAUGAAGAUGACCAUAAGCUCUAAAACUCACAAAGAGAAACACCAACUAAGAACCAAGAAGUAUGAUGCAAGGAUGCAAAUGGUUUGAGCUCUCAACGAACGAUACGAUCAAGCUACUCACUUGAGAGCCCCCCUUGAUAGAACAACAAUCUAUCCUAACCAGAAAACCUAUCAAGGGCAAACCUAUACCUUGCACCUCAUCCUCUUGAGCUAGAUGAUGAUGAUCUUGGCUUCCUCAAGAUGGACCACCUUUCUUGAUUGUGUUGGCUUGAUGAAGACUAGUUGAUUGCUCCCCCAUACUCACUAUGGGUGAGCCACUCUUCAGCAUAUCUUCACAAGUCCAUUGCCACCAUAAUGGACGGCAAGCUUCAAGCAUGCUAUCUUCGUGCUGAUCCACUUGAACUUGCACACCGCAAUCUUGAUGACGAUCACAACUUGACGUCAUACUCCAUGGGUUGUAUGAGAUCUUCCCUUUGACGCAAGCCCAUGGAAACACACCUAACCCCCACAUAGAACUCUCACGAAGACCAUGGGUUAGUACACAAACACGUAAUGGACAAUGCUUACCAUACCAUGGGAUCACUUGAUCCCUCUCGGUACAUCUUGUACGCUUUGUGUGUUGAUCAUCUUGAUUUACUCUUUGUCUGAGAUCUUGAUCAACCAUUGAUGAUGAUCACAUCUUGACGUCAUACUCCAUGGGUUGUAUGAGAUCGUCCUUUUGACGCAAGCCCAUGUAAACACACCUAACCCCCACAUAGAACUCUCACGAAGACCAUGGGUUAGUACACAAGCACGUAAUGGACAAUGCUUACCAUACCAUGGGAUCACUUGAUCCCUCUCGGUACAUCUUGUAGGCUUUGUGUGUUGAUCAUCUUGAUUUACUCUUUGUCUGAGAUCUUGAUCAACCAUGUGUCUCUAUGACCAUUCUUUGGAUAAUACCUUGGAUACCAUCUUGGUCAUCAUAUAAACUCCUUGAACCCAACAGAUGGACUUCAAGANNNNNNNNNNNNNNNNNNNNNNNNNNNNNNNNNNNNNNNNNNNNNNNNNNNNNNNNNNNNNNNNNNNNNNNNNNNNNNNNNNNNNNNNNNNNNNNNNNNNAAGCUUCAGCAAAUGUGCGUGCAGAGAAAGCGAUGCCAAGCAGCCGUGCGAUACUGCGGGAUGAAGCUGCGCGAGGCGGCAAGAUCGUGUGAUGCGGCAAGCGUUUGGGCAGUUGAAUUCUGACCGGCUAAGCAAUUAGUUGAAGCCAUGAGAAUUGGUAUGAUAUCGAUAGUUAGUUAGUGUGUUAGCUGCAUGCAUGUGGUGGCCGGCCGGGUCAUGCGUUAUUGGUCGGUGUGUGGUGUGCAUAUAUGCAUGGACUUAGUGUGUGCGCCAGUUAGAGGAGAGGUAUCUGGUUUCGUGUGGCUCAACAAACCAACAACAACUUACAACUAAACUUAUCAAUGGACUGAGAUAUCCCAUGGAGGUACCCAACUUGUCCCUUAUAUAUAUGAACCCGGCCUUAGCCAUGUCCAUUGAAGGAUAUAGACAUCUUAGUAGCUGCUAGCAUAUCCCACACUACUCACCAUAACAAUGUCAAUUAUGUUCUACUUGUUCAUCUACACAACACUCGUGCUGCUUGUUCUUCCCAUGUACUACUUGUACUUCAGGGCUAGUUGUAGAUCAAAGAACCCAGCAGUGCUCCCAAAAACUGGCCAAUAUUGCACAUGUUCCCUUCCUUCGUGGCCAACCUCCACAACAUGAAUGACUAUUUCACCCUGGUCCUCGCCCGAUCAGGCCACAACUUCAGGGCACACGGCCCACCCGGGACCGGGAUGCGGUUUUUCAUCACAUGCGAUCCUGCCAACAUCCGGCACAUCUUCACGACGAACUACACCAACUUCCCCAAGGGUGCGGAGUUCGCCGCAAUCUUCGACAUCAUGAGCGGCGGCAUCUUCACCAUCGACGGUGAGCCAGCUCAUCGGCAGCGCGCGAAAAUCAAGAGCGUGAUCAGCAACCCACGGUUGGUUGCAAGGAUGGAGGCUUGGUGCCGCGACAAGGUGGAGAACAACCUCCUCCCGUUAUUUACGCAAAUGGCGAGCACCAGCACUUGGUUCAAUAUGCAAGAUUUGAUGUCAAGGUUAAUGUUUGACCUUGCUGCUACGCCUCUGUUCGGUGUGGACCCCGGCCUUCUAUCUUUGGACAUGCCUCCCAAUGAAGCCGCGGUCGCCAUGGACACAGUCAUGGAGGUGGCAUAUUUUCGGCUCGUGGUGCCGACUUCUUGUUGGAAGUUGAUGAGGCGGCUAAACAUCGGCCCUGAGAGGAAGCUCAAGGCAGCACACAAGGUGCUGCGUGGGUUUGUUGUGGAGAUGAUGGAGAGGAGGAAGAUUAACACAUCUUCUGUUGGUAACGACGAGCAACAUGAGGGUGUUGAUAUAAUGUCUUCCUUCCUCAACGAUCCCUACUAUACCGAGGAUGACAUGUUCAAUGCAUUGACCAUUAGCUACAUGCUCGCUGCAAGGGACACCGUUGGAACGGCCCUGACAUGGAUUUUCUACAACCUUGCUCAGAACCCAAAUAUUGUCUCAAUCAUCCGCAAUGAACUCUCACCGAUUGCAUCACGCAAAGUAGCGGCCCAUCCAGAUGCCAUGGUGAUCUUUGAGCCGGACGAGACCAAAUCUCUAGUCUAUCUGAGAGCUGUCUUGUACGAGACUCUCAGGUUGUACCCACCAGCCCCUCUCGAGCGCAAGAUGGUGGCGGCCAAUGAUAUCAUGCUGAGUGGUCAUGAGGUGCAUGCCGGUGACACCAUCUUUAUCUCUCUCCACUCCAUGGGAAGAAUGGAGGGUAUAUGGGGUAAAGACUGCCUCGACUACAAUCCAGAUAGGUGGCUCUCGGAGGAUGGCAACAAGCUGAGGUACGUACCAUCUCACAAGUUCUUGACCUUCAACUCGGGUCCGAGGAUGUGCCUUGGCAAGGACAUCGCGGUUAUGCAGAUGAAGACCGUCAUUGCCUCAACGUUGUGGAACUUCGAUUCGAGAUAAUGGAAGGGCAAUGCAUCGAGCCUAAGUCAUCUUGUAUACAGGAGAUGAAAAACGGGCUCAUAUUUAAGCUAAAGAAGCGAGAAAUGUAACAUUAGAGCAAGUCUAAUAAGGCAUACUCAACAGACUAUACCAAUAGAAAGUGCCAUCUCAUUUAAAUCCUAGGUGGAAGGAAGAGAAAGACGGAGAGAGAGUGAAGCGGAUGCUAAAUCUGUAGUCAGGGUGUAGCACAAGCUACGAGGCAGAAGAGCUGGCUUGCAGCAUGUGCAAGCGGUAGAGCCGGCUCUUAGUCUUCUCAUCCAAUCAUGUGCGUUUUUCUGCUUUCUUCAUAUGCAAGAAUUAAAAUGCUAUAGCCAACUUUAGUAUGCAAUCUAAAGCCAGUCUAUUAUAUGAGAGUGUUCUUUUUUACCAAGGUUGUAGGUGGCAUGGCACAUGUAUAGAGCCGGCAGCGGACUUUCUUAUAAUCCACGUUCUUAGACUUUGAUCUUAUGUAAACUUGCUUACGAACGACGAGAACAGUUUUAUGUUGCCCACAAUCACAUUACUUAUAUAUCGAAUAAUAGAAGCAUCCAUGAAGCAAAAUUUAUCUGAACAACCAACGUGCUGCCAUUUAUUACUCCAUUGUAUUACCUCUGUACCAUAAUAUAUGACGAGUAUGAAGACUGAAAACUGAGAGUAUGAAGACUUUCAAAACACAAAAGACACUAACAAAAUGAACUAAAGUGACUAAAUCUUAAAAAUGAUUGGUAGACAAGAAGAAAACAAAGAAAAUUUAUUUUAUUGAGAAUGAAAAAAUGACAGAGAUAAUAAUAAUAAGAAUGAGAGAAUAAUGACAGAGAAUAGAUGACACUAAACAUGAUUUAAGCAGAAAAAGGAAACUGAAAAAAAUUGAUAAACAGAAAGACAAACUCCUCCUAGAAAAACUGAAAAAAUGAAGACUAAACAAUGAACAAACUGAAUAUUGAGAAAUAACUGGAAAAAAUGAAAACUAAAUAAUGAACAAACUGGAUAUUGAGACAUACACUAAACUCUAAAGACUGAUGAAACUGAAUAAGAUUGAGCAAACUGAAGAGAGACAAAUGAAGAAACUGAGAGAAACUAAUGAAACCAAAAUAAUGUGAAACUAAAUAAGACUGAAUAAAGAGACUGAAAACAUCAUAAAAGGAAACCUAAAAGAAAAGGUGGACCGAAAGAUGAACAAAGACAAAACAUCUGAAAUAAUGAUAAUAGAGAGAAAGACUCAAGAAGAACCAAAUACUGAACAGUGAACAAUGAACUCUGAUGGAUGUUUGGAACUGAAGAAAAUGACACCUACCACUGAAACUACAGAAAAAAAACGAUGAAAAGGCACAUAACACUCAAGCUAUUGACCAAACUGAAGGAAAUGACACCUACACUAAACUAACUGAAAAAUUAUAGCCUUAAAAAACGAAGACUAAAGAAUGAAAUAAUUGUACACACAAACUGUGAAACUGUGACGAUGAGAAAUCGAAUAUCUAAAAGUGAAGGAACUCUGAAAAAUUGAAAGAAACAUGCACUUAAGAUGAUUGAAACUGAAAAUGACAUAAUGAGGAAUAUAGAAGAGUAGAAAUGAGAUAAUGAGAAAUAAAUAAGGCGAGGACCGGCGAAGAGGGGAGAAGCUCACGGUGCCUUGCUCGCGGGUCGCGUGGACCGGCGACUCGCACUCGAUGGGAGAGACGCUGGCCGCCCCCGCCGCUAACCGAUGGUUAUCGUCCCUCAACAGCAUGCCCACUCUCGUCGGCGCAACUCGCCUCCUACCGCAGUUUGCCGACAACUUCGCUUCCUCCACCGCCUACUCAUCCUUUUCCUGUUAUGGUGGGACAAACGAAGGGACAGCAGCACCCUGUCACUAAAACGCACUAAAAAUACAAGAAAUCGACUGAAUUGGCCACAUCCACGAUUAGAUUCAGGAAAAGAAAUCGGACGGCCAAAAAAUUCGACCUGAAGCCAAAUUGAAAUCAGCCGACUUAAAUUUAGUAAAAGUGUAUAAAAAUAUUGAACCAUUCAUCUUGAUGGUCAAACUAUAGAUGUAGCCAAUUAAGGAGAACUUCCAUGGAUUAUUUGAGUCAUAUGAAGAUGAAACAACUACAAAAGAGUACUUUUUAGGUGUUUCAAAAAAGUACUUAGAUCCACCCUGGUAUAGGUUAACUUCAAUGUGUUUAUCGAGGUUUCCGUGAGCAUAUAUUCAAAGCAAAGCACUCGCUCCAUCUCCUUAGCGAAGACGAGUUCAUCCUUGUGCUUCGUGUACUUAUGAUGAGACUCAAAUCAACAGCCAAUUAGCCACACAACAUUUUUGUGGCGUACCUCAUGAAGGUUACGUGAUUUUAUUUUUGAAUUUUGUUUACUAUAUUUUGCAUUUACUAUUCACUAGUAAACAUAUCAAGGAGAUAUUUCACAGGUCGCACCUCACCUGGGCCGGCCCAUUUUGCAGUGGCACGUUCGCAAGGUGGAAAAAUGACCAAAAAAUAGGGUUUCAAACCCGAGAACUCGAGAUGAGACGCGCAUGGUGCUAGAUGCUCCGACCGACAAGCUCAUGUGCUAGGUAUGCAACACCACAUUUAAAGAAACAAUCAAAAACAGCAAAAUAUAAAUGUUUACAAAAUUUCCCAAAGUAUAAGCAUAGUAACACCUAGGAAUUGGUAACUAAAAUGGCAGCCCGGUGCAUAAGAACUAUAGGCCAGAACAGAGUUAAAUUGUUUUUUAGAAAUUUUCAACAUCAAUUUCUUUUUGAAAAUUGUAAAUAUUUUUUGAAAAAAAACAUUUUCAAAUUUGUUAAAAAGCAUUUCAUGAAAAUACAAAUAUUUUUUGGGUUUCUCAGACAUUUCUCGGGAAAAAGUAAAAAAAUAAAAAUGAGAAUACUUUUUAAAAUCAUGAACAAUCUUUAAAAAACGUUUUAUGAAAAACAGAAAAAAUGAAAACACAAACAAUUUCUGAAAUUGGCAACAAAAUUACCAAAACACCAAUACUUUUGAAUUUGCAUAAAUAAAAUUUAAUUCAUGUACAUCUUCUUAGUAUGUGAACAAAUUUGGAAGAGGUUGAACAUUUUCUGACAUUCCUGAACAUUUUUUGAAUUCGUGAACAAAAUCCGAAAACGCAAACACUUUUGAAAACUACGACCAAGUAUUUCAAAACACAAACAUUUUAUGAAAAGUCCAGGAAUAUAUUUCGAAUUUGUGAACAAAACCUGAAAAUAUAAACAUGUUUUGAAUAUGUAAAUAAAAUGAAAAAAAGGAAUAUUUACUGAACUUCCUAAGCAUUUUCUGAAUUUGUGAACAAAAAUUUAAUAACAUGGAUAUUUUUAAAAUUACGAACAUUUAUUUUAUAAAACCAUAAGGUUUUAUAAAAUUACCCAAAUAUUUUAUGAAUUUGUUAUUUCUUUAAAACUUGUAUAUCUUUCAAUGUGUGAAUUUGUUUUCAAAAGUUUGCACAUUUUCUGAAAUUCCCUAUCAUUUUCUGAAUGUGUGAACAAAAAUAAAAAAUGCAAAGUAUUUUUUCAAAUUUAUCAAACAUAUUUUAAUCUUCAAACUAAUUUUCAAGAACACGAAUAUCUAUGAAACUUUUCAACAAAUUUUCAAUGUACGGAUAUUUUUCGAAAUUCAUGAACAUUUUCUUAAUUUCUGAACAAAAGCUUAAAUUGCAAUCAUUUUUUAAUUAAAAAUUCUAUUAGUAUUGGAUUUUCAUACAUUUUUCUAAAAGAAGCGAACAAUAUUUGAGAUUUCUAAAACAUAAAUCAAACGAGGAACAUUGUUAAAAAAAUAAUACACCCUCUCCUCCGAAAUAAGUGACUCAACUUUGUAAGUUUAGUACAAAGUUAAGUCACUUAUUUUUGGACAGAGGAAGUACUUCCUUUUUUUAUUGUUUAUCUUUUUCUUUUCUUUCCUUUUUUUUCUCCUUUUGAAGUAUAUUUUCUUUUCUCCAUUUUUUGAUGGGGCUCCAUGCAACUCCGGUGAAGCUCCACUGCAGCGUCAGUUAUGCUUCAGAUACCUCGACGUUGCUCCACUCCAACUCCAGCGAUGUAGCGGUUAUCCUUGCUACAACUCCGACUCACAGCACAGCAAUUGCGGCCAUGGUGUUGGACGCAACGGCGGUGCUUCAUGGGAGUUGCGGGGACCCCCUCUCAAUCUUGGAGCAUCGCGGUUGUUUGCGACGGGUGAUAACCCACAAAGUAUAGGGGGUCAAUUGUAGCCUUUCUCGAUACGUAAGAGUGUUGAACCCAACGAUGAGCUAAAGGUAGAAAAGAUAUUUUCUCAAGUUCUAUCGACCACCGAUACAACUCCCGCAUGUUUAACGUUCGCUUUAACUAGAACAAGUAUGAAACUAGUACUUUGUAUGUGUGAUAGGAUAGGUUUGCAAGAAAAUAAAGAACGCGUAAUUAAAAACUAGGGGUUGCUUAGAUAAAGAAACAACUAAGUUUGUCUUAGUAGAGAUCUUUUUGUCACAAGAAGGUUAUUUGUCCAUAGACAAUCGAUAACUAGACCGGUAAUCAUUAUUACAAUUUUAUAUGAGGAAGAAGCAUAAGCUAACAUACUUUCUCUACUUGAAUCAUAUGCACUUAUGAUUGGAACUCUAGCAAGCAUCCGCAACUACUAAAGAUCAUUAAGGUAAAACUCAAUCAUAACAUUAUCAGGUAUCAAGUCCUCUUUACUCCCAUAUGCAACAACCCACCUACUCGGGUUUAUGCUUCUGUCACUCAAGCAACCCACCAUAGGCAAAUCAUGAACACAUUUUAACACCCUACAGCGGGGAUCCCUCAUGCUUGCACGACACGGAGAACACCAUAGGACAGCACCAAUAAUAAAACAUGCAACUCAAACCAAUCAUGAUCAUCAAUCAACCCAUAAGACAAAACGGAUCUACUCAAACAUCAUAGGGUAGCCAUACAUCAUUGGGAAAUAAUAUAUAGCAUUGAGCACCAUGUUUAAGUAGAGAUUACAACAGGGAGAAGGGGUGUUACACCGCUGCAUAGAGGGGGAGAGAGUUGGUGAUGACUGCGACGAAGUUGUUGGUGUAGAUCGUCGUCACGAUGAUGGCCCGACGACGUUUCAGUGCCAUCGGGAGAGGGGGAGAGAGCCCCCUCCUUCUUCUUCUUCCUUGCCCCCCCCCCCCUACGAUGGGAGGAGGGUUUCACCUCUGGUCCUUGGCCUUCAUGGAGGUGGAGGGGCGCUCGCCCCUCCGAGAUUGGAUCUCUCUCUGUUUCCAUCUGUUUCUGCGUUUCUCUCUGUCCCAGAUUUUGACGUUUCACCGUUUCUUAUAUUCUCGGAGAUCCGUAACUCCGAAUGGGCUAAAAUUAUAACACGAAUUUUAUCCGAAAAUUAGCUUUCUUGCGGCGAAAGAAGGGCACCAACCGCCUUACGGGGUGAACACAAGCCAUCCGGGCGCCCCUACCCCCAGGUGGCGCCCCUAUGGCUUUUGGGCCCUUCGGGCACCGCCUUCUGUUGAUUACACUUCCCAAAGUUCAUAUAUAUUCUUAAAAAAAUCUCCGUAAGUUUUUAUCCCGUUUAGACUUCAUUUGAUAUGAAUUUUCUGCGAAACAAAAACAUGCAACAAAUAGAAACUCGCAUUGGGCACUGGAUCAAUAUGUUAGUGCCAAAACUAGUAUAAAAAGUUACCAAAAUUAUAUAAAAGUUAUAGAAUAUUGCAUGAAACAAUCAAAAAUUAUAAAUACGACGGAGACGUAUCAACGGGAUGCAGCAGCGGUGGGCUCCGGCGUCGAGGUUCUAUAAUGUGGGAUUGCAGCUGUGGGCGCAAACCCGACGCAGUCUCGUGGUAUGGUCGCCGGAGCAAAACGACACCAGUGGCAGAGGUGCUCCAAAAAUCUGUCCCAACGAGCUACAGCACGUUGAUGCUAGGACCGUGGCGCUCGCGUGAUGAUGUGGAGGACGAUGAGGUGCUCGGCGAGGUCCAGCAGUGGCAGCUGGUGCAGCUCGUGUAGUGUUGCAUCUGAGGGAGAGACAGAAGAAUAAGAAAGGUAGGAGACGACUGUCGCUCGCAAGAGAUAAGGCAAAAGGAAUGAGUAGCCAAUUAGAUGCACUACAUAGUGGUGGUGUACCUCAUGAAGGUUACGGAACACACUAUGCAAUUGCCAAUUGGUUAUCAUCAAGCCCCUGCAACUGACGAAGCUUCUUGACGGCUUAUCCUCCGUGAAUCGUACCCAACCGUUGCUACUGUUUCUUCUACCUUCUGUCGCUGUCGACGUCAUUCUGCCUCGUCUUAUGUGGCCUUAAGGCCAUGGAGGCGUAGUGGAUCCCGGCCGUUCCGGGUGGAGGGCUUCGUUUUUUGAUGAUUUUCUGACUUUUCUUAGGAUUUAUAUCUUGUUCAGAGAGAUGAGGCUGCAGCUUCCUGAAGAUGGAAUAAGGAUCUUUCCGCCUAGCCUCCGUCCCUUUGGUGUUUAUAGCGUCAUCGGCGGGUGUGUGGAGGUUUCUCAUCGACAGAUCUUGAGGGAUUCGGUCGGCGUUUGUCUUCGGUGGAUCAACGUGGAUCCGGUAUUCGUCCGCCUGCGUUCGUGUGUCUACAUGUUGGAUCCUUCUGAUUUAAGCUUCUGUUUAACAGCGGUGGUUGUUGUUCUUAUGCGUUGAUCCUAUAGGGAAUGAGCAUGAUGACUUUCCGACUGUUUAUUACGACAAGUUUUGCCCGGCUUUAGUGAGGGAGCGAUGAUGACAGCGGCACGUCUUCGACUUGCUUCAAUACUUAUAGUCAUCGUUAGGUGGUCUACGGAUCUGAAAAUGAUUUUUAUUAUUUUUUAUAUUCGUUGUACUAUCAUAAUUGAUGGUGAAUAGAUUGGAAGUUUCCCGCAAACAUAUCUCAUGCCCUUCAUGGGUCGCCUGACAAAAUCAAUCACUUAGGCCCGGUUUGAAACCACAAUAAAUUAUGAUAAUAUGGAUUAUGAAGAUAUAUUAUAUAAUCAGGUUUAUAAAAAUAAUGUAGGUGGACAUGUUUGAAGGCCAGAUUAUAUAAACUGUAAUCCAGGUUUUUUACAUUGCAUAAUGACCUGUCUGCCUUGUGCGCGCGCCGAGGAGAAAAAAAGGAAGAGGGUGGUGGUGACAGAAAUUAGUAAUUACCUCCAACUUUACAAAGAUAAUGGGUCAUUAGUAAUCCAUAAUUUGGUUUUAUCUGGGAUAGAGUAGAUUGCGAGUUUCUAAUAAUCUGUCUGUCUAGUUUUUAUAAUCUACAACAUAAUCCGUCCUGUUUGAAGACAAUAUAGAUUAUAAAAAUUGGAUUAUGAUAAUCUGAGUGGUUUCAGACAGGGCCUUAAUCACGGAACAGAUCUUGACUAGUACUGUGAGAAGUAUAGAUAGGAAUUAGAAUGAUUAGUCCAUCUUACCCUGUAAACAUCUCCAUACCCGCCGGUACCAACAACUUUUUGAUCCUCUACAAAGUCGUUUGCGAUAGCUUGGAUCACUUGGAGUUUGAUGAAAUCCAUGCAGGGUCUAUCUCCCACCCAGGCUAACAGGACGAACUUCUUUUAUCAAUGAGAAAAACAAAUUAAUGGUAUGCAACAUCGUUGAACGUAGAAGGAGGAUGGUCAAGAGUUCAGAGAUUUUCGGGUGAAGAAUUGCUACCGGAAAAAGAAUAUAUGUGACGUCAUUUGGAAAAUGAAUAUCCCGGAUUCAGAGGCUGGAAACAGAGAAGUCUAUGGGACGUCAUUUCGAAAAUGAAUAUCCCGUUGGAAACAGAUCAGCAUAUGUGAUGUCAUUUGGAAAAUGAAUAUCCCUGGCUCAGAGACUGGAAACAGAAGUAUAUAUGUGACGUCGUUUGGAAAAUGAAUAUCCCGGACUUAGUGGCUGGAAACAGAAGUAUAUAUGUGACGUCAUUUGAAAAAUGAAUAUCCGGCACUUAGAGGCUGGAAACAGAAGUAUAUAUGACGUCAUUCGGAAAAUGAAUACCAUGCGGUUUUAGCAUGCACAAAGAGUAGGUAAAGCCCUGAUGUUCGAUAUGAGGAAAAAUGGGAGCUCCCUGAUGAACAGGAUUUCGGCUACACUGGGACAGAUUAAUUGGUUGCAGAUUCUGCUUGACAAAUAACAUGACUCGGAUAUGAGAAGCAAGAUGUUUUUGCUCAUGUGGCGAGCCUGGUUCUUACGUGAUGACUGCAUACGCCAUGAGGAAAAGGAAUCAGUAUCAAGGUCUGUUUUGUUCCUGAAUCCUGACAGGGUACGUACAUGUGGAAGAAAUUAAAACCCUAUCUAUUCCAGGUGGUGGGAUUAUCGGAAAAAGCUGCUGGCUGAUCCACGGGUUGAAGUGGUCAAAAUCAACUCAGACGCGGCGUUUUUGGAAGAAACCGGACAAUGUUGGGCCGGAGCUGUCUCUAGAGACCACCAUGCAUGGUCAAGUAAUUUUCUCUGAAUCUAGGGCGAUGAACGCAUGCACAACUGUUAAAUGUUAAUCAAAAUUUUGAGAAAAAAAUUGUUGAUUAAGUUUUUAAAAAAUGUUAAAUGUGCAUAGUUAAAAUGUUGACCGUGUAUUAAAAAGAUGAUGAUUUUUUUAUGAUGUAUAUAGAAAUGUUAAUCAAGCAUUUGAAAAAAUGCUGGUUGAUCAUGUAAUAAAAAGAUGAUGAUUUUUUAUCAUGUAUAUAUAAAAUGUUAAUCAAGCAUUUGAAAAAAUAUGUUGAGCAAGAUUUUAAAAACUGUUAAUUAAGCAUUUGGAAAAGGUUAAUCUUGUAUUUCAAUUUUUGUAUCAAUUUUUUUAAUACAACUAGAUCAAAGGAAAAGGUUAAUUUUGUAUUUCGCAUUUUAAAAAUAUAUUUUUCUCUUUCUCUCUCUCUCUCUCUCAAAGAUCAAAGAAAAAAAAAACAAUCCUCUUCCUCUGCUCCUUGUACUAGUGUCCGGCCAACAGCAGACGGCGGCGAUGGCGAGGAGACGAAUGGCGGGCAAGCAGGAAGACGCCCGCUCGAAGAAAUCGCACCGCUGCAAAGACGUACAGGUUCGCACGCCCGCCUGGUGCUUGUGUUUAUUCCCACAAGGUUCGUUCCACUGCGAGCGACCUCGCCCUGUCACGGACACUCCAGAUUUCGUGUCCUUGAUUCUUCACCGACACCCUCGCUCGCCUCCGGCCGGCCUCUACCUCAAGCUGAGGUGGGAUAUAUAGCAUGAUCAGAGUGGCAACAUGCAUGCAUGCGGGUCACCGGGAAAUUUGAACUUAUGAUUCAUAUUCAGUGCAGGAUGUCCAACUGUACAACCAUAAACUGGUUCUACUGACAUACUGCUGAAGGACAUAUAUAUAUAUAUAUAUAUAUAUAUAUAUAUAUAUAUGAGAGUGUUUAUUAACUAGGAGGAGUCGAAGAGUAAGUACGUACGUAGUAGGCUCAGAGCUUCCCAAUGACAUCGAGCAUGGCUGCCCGUGGUGUGCACAGCGCCUCCAGGGGCACCGCCUUGGGAAGUGUCAUCCCGUCCCCUUCACCCAUGUCCACCGGGGCGUCGCCGACCCUGUCCCAAUGGAAGCACUGCAGCAGCGUGCCGAGAACCAGCCCCAGGACGUGCAGCGCGAGGGCCUCCCCGGGACACUUGCGCCUCCCCAUCCCGAACGGCAUCAUGAACAGCCCCUGGGCUCUCCUCCCCUCGAACCUCUCCGGCCUGAACAUGGCCGGGUCCUCCCACGUCGCCGGCUCCCUGUGGAUGGCGUACACGUUGACGAGUAGCAUCGUGCCCCUGGGGACGUCGUAUCCCCCGACCGUGCAGUCCGCGGUCGACUCGUGCGGGAUCAGCGUCGGAACGCCCGGGUACAGCCGGAGUGUCUCGCUGAUGAUGCAGUGGAGGUAGCGGAGCCGGGGCAGGUCGUCGGCGUGGAGGAGGCGGGUGGUUCCGACGCACGCGUCCAUCUCGGCCUGCGCCUUGACCAGAGUGUCCGGGUGGUUGAGCAGCAGCGACAUCGCCCAUUCCAGCGUCGUGGCCGUCGUCUCUGUGCCCGCACUGAACAUGCUCUGCGUAUAUACAAAAGCCAAAACAUCGUAACAAGAGAAGGUCGCUGAUGUUUGACAACAUUGGAAACAUCGAUCAAUCAAAGAGAUGCAUGUUUACCGCGCAUAGAGCCAAGAUCAUGUUAUCGGUGUAGGUCUCCGGCUCCGUUUUCUGCAAGGAGAGCAGCCGGGCGAUCAUGCUCUUGUUUGUGCUCUCGCUCAUGCUGUCCAUCCUCCUGAGCCGCUCCAUGUCGAUGAGCCUCUGGAUGAAGGCGUCCCUCCUGCCCACCGCUGCUAGGAGCUUCCUCCUCACACCAAACACGUCCAACCACCAUAGCACCGGCGGCAGGAAGUCCCACGUGUUGGCUGCGCCCAUCAACGGAAUGAUCUCGUCCAUCCACUCCUUGAGCUCUUGGGCCUCCGGCGACAUGUCCAUGUCCACAUCCGCCUCCGCGCGGGACGUCCUCGUCUGUGCGAUGGUCUCCAUCAAGGCGCUGACCGAGACCUCGAAAAUACUCCUCUUCAGUUUCACUAGUGCGGCGCCGGCGCCGGCGCCGGCGCGUGCCAGUCGCGACACCAUCGCGUGCACCUCCUUGGCGAUAUCUCCGGAGAUGCAUCCCACCCGGUGCGCGGAGAGGAGCUCCACGGUGGCGACGCGGCGGAGAUGUCGCCAGUACGCGCCGUAGGGGCACGUCGGGAGGUCGGUGCAGCUGAAGGACACAACCAUCAAUGAGGGGAACUGUGGGCGGCUGGCGAAGGUAACGUCAUGUUCCGUGAAGCACUGCUUGGCGCACGCUGCCGAGCACACGGCCACGACAUGGCGUGAGCCAAGGCGAAGGGAGAAGACCGGACCGUAGCGGCCGGCGAGGCGGGCAAGAGUGGCGUGGAGCGGCUUCUCAAUGAGGUGGAGGUGGCCCAAGAAGGGGAUGGCAGCAGGGCUUGGCGGCAGCCGUAGGCGGAGGCGUGUGCGACGUAGGCGGAGGAGUGGGAUGCUCAAGAGGAAAAAGGCCACAACGCCGGCGGCGCCGUAGGCGGUGACGGUGUCCAUUUAAUUUAGUUGGAACUUGAAAGUUGGAUGGUCUCGCUAUUUGGCGUCGCUCAUGUGCCUCAGAAGCACCCCCCUAGCUCAGAGGUACGUAGCUACUUCCUGUCAUUUACAUAAGAGAAAUUUUAAGAUGGAUACAGUUAAUACCAGCCUCUUUUUGUGUAAUCCAGUGGCUGGUAUUAUUAAUUUUCCAUAACUUGUAUUAGGUAAAAUUAGCACCAUGAUCUGAUUACAUCUUCAUUACCUUUGUCUUUAGGGAUUACAUCGCUAUUGCCUUCCUUAGUUAGCAGAUAUGAUGUAUCUCCGGAUACGAUAUACUAAUUUAACACAUGAUUUGAUUACAUCAUUUUUUACCUUUUUAGGGAUUACAUCAUCAUUACCUUCCUUAUUGAGCAGGAUAUGAUAUGAUAUAUUCCUUAUUUAGCACCAUGAUUUGAUUACAUCACCAUUACUUUUUUUUAAUGGAUUACAUCAUAUAUUACCUUCCUUACUUAUACGAAUAGAGAAGUCAAAUUAACCACACAAACACUACGAAAAAAUACAUCUUGCCACAUUUUGGCAUAAGCCGAGUGUUAUAUCUCGGGUACUCGGCUUAGCCUGUCUUUAUGGUCAUCUUUCAGGUAUUAAUAUGGGGAAGUAAAAGCAGAAUCCACAGUGUGUUUUUGCUUCCAUGAUAUAUAAAAUGAUAUAUAUAUCAUGUGAUCCUUUCGCCUCUUCUUUUCUGAAAUAGCUAUUGUCGAUUUCAACAUGACAAGAAAUAGCAAAAUCUGUGAUGUUGCUUAUGUUUAAUUUUUAUAUCAAGAUUGCAAGAUUGUUUUCAAUUUUUAGAAAUACUGUUGUUAAUGUUGGAUGCUUGCAUUUCCAGCAUGAAGAUAGCUAAUCCACAGUGUGUUAUUUAGAAGAAUGCUUGCAUUUCCUGCUUACUGAUAGACAGAGCAGCUAGUUCGUUAUUUGGAUAUAGAGUUUAUUUCAUAUGCAAAGUGCAGCUUUUUUGUGUCCUUAACUCCUUAUGUUCACUUCCUAGACUGGAAACUGUCUUGCAUGAUUGUAUUUAUCAUUCUGCUCUUGUUUUUUUAUCCUAACCUAUAUUUUCUGAAAUAUAUAGAAUUGUAUGUUCUUGUGUGCUGAAGUGAGUAAAGUUAACUAUUUUAAGCUUUGAUUCAAGUGCCCAGUUUCUUGCUGUAGGGAUGAGAUCAUGGAAAAUGUGAGUAGCUAUAAAGCAUAAAUUAAAGAGAAAACUGUUUGAACAGAGCUGUGUUAAAGGUUCUAUGAAGUUUUGUCAUGGUUUUUGCAGCUGCCAAUGGGUGUUCUUAGUAGAUUCUUAGUAAAUAAUAACAUUAGUUUUGCAUUUUCUUAUGAGUAUUAUCCAGCUACGAACACAUGUUUAAGUGUGAUAUGUGAUCCUAUUUCGUUCCUAGAGCCACAAAGGCCUGGUACUAGACAGAAAAGAGGGUGGCCCUUUUCUUCUUAAUAUAAUCUCUAUGGUGUGUAUGUUUCAAAACAAGAAGCGACUGCUGCCAUAGUAUUUUUUUUUUUACAGUUACGAACUACAUCCUGACAUUCCCUCUGGUUUUUAUUUGCAUCAUGAUGUGAUGCUAGGCAAUGAGUAGGGCACAUAGGAUUGGGCAACACACGGUCAGCAUCUGUUGCUUCGUCACCUGCAAAAGUGUUAAAGGGGAUAUAUUGGAGUGGGCAAAGAAAAAAAAUGGGGCAGAGACCGAAUGCCUUCAUAUGAUCUUUUAAAUACAUGAAUAUGUUUUAACCUAUUUUACUUAUUUAUCUCAGGUUUUCAUCACCUGGUGAUUCAGAAGCUGAAUGCCGGGGGCAGGCUCGACAAAAGAAAGAAACCAGACAAGCUGCCUCCAUGUUUGAUAAGGUAGUAUCUUGCCUAAGCUGUCUUGAUAUGCACAAGUUAGUUUGGAUGGAAACUUUUCUGGGUGUAGAAACUUUGUUAACGACUUGUGAACAAGACAUACAUGGAUGUUUUAAUGUUUUACACCGACUUGCAUUUUUGUUGUUGUUGCAAUAUAGCUUGUAGCUUUAGUGCAGUUUCAUUGACUUCCAUUAUAGCAUGCGUUUUAAUUACUUGCUACAUACCUUAGGAAGAAACAAAAUGCUAAUUGUUACAUAUUACUGUACAUGGUUACAAAUUAAGCUCCCAACCUCAAAUUGAUGUAGUCUUAUCCUUCUGAUACUUAUUAGAGGAGUGGCUGGGAUUAAUUUAUGCAGUUGAUUCCUGAUGGUUUUGCUAACAUGGCGAAUUAGUCAAGAGAAAAUUUCGAGCAGAGCAGAAUACUUGGACAUAACUUGUAAGUCUAUGGUUCGUUCUGAGUUUAUGUUCGUUGUAGUAGGAUUGAUAUUAGGUGAAGUUGAAUUUCACUUAUACACAUCAAAAGUCUUCACUGCCCAAUCCAACAAAGUGCUAAUCAAUCUUCUUAUGACCUGUGAGGUGUUUGUAUUAACUCAGCAAGCUAGGCAGUCUGCAUAGUUUUGUGUAUUAUCAUUGCACUUGAUUUUACAAUUUGUUUUUUAUUAUGUCUUUGUUCAGUAUAUAAGUUAUCCUUGAUGAAUAAAAGUCACACACAGAUGUUGCUUGUCUCUUAAUUCCAUCUACUAGUAAUUAGAUGAAUUUGACUGAGUAUUCUUGGCGGGUCGAUAUGGAAGUGUGUACCAUUUUAGGAAUGAAUUUGACUGAGUAUUCUUGUGUUGCUUUCCUUAUUUGCAGAGACAAAUGUCGGUGGUUAUGAUAGAGCGUGCGGAGACAACAACUUUGUUACUCUCCGACAUUUAUUGUUGGUUGUAGACUUAUCCCAUUCACUGAUCAAUUUGCACAUAUUUUAUUGUAGUUGUUUCAAGGACUAAACCUAAGUCGUCACUGCCCCUAAAAUCUUCAUCAACCCAUAGUAAUUAAAUUCUAAUGCCCGAUAACUGCAGAAUAAUCAAAAUACUAAGUCCCUAAUUAACUAACUCUCAUUUUAGCAAUCCAAUUACUGUGAUGGAGUCUUGCCCGAUUAUCAAACUUUGUAUUGAUAAUAGAUGUUAGUUAAAUAUGAACAUAUAUAUUGAUAAGAGAUCAAGGUACGAAAAGCAAUACGUGUGGGAAGCAUAAGCAUAAUCUAGAGAAGAGAAAAAUCCAUAGAUUUCAUACCUAGGAACUCGCCUUCCUUCUUGACGCUCCUUGAUUACUUCAGGUGCUCCUUGCUGUUUUUACCUCCAGAACUAACUAUGUUAGCUGGUAAGCUAUCUGUGAUGGACGAGGGGUGAGGGGUGAGGGGUGAGGAGGGAGGGGGAGAAGGGAGGCUAGAGGAGGUUCACAUAUAUAUGAGGGCGAUGCGGCGGAGAUUUUUUUUUCCUACUCUUUUCUUUUCCCCUCAAUGUACAUUUAUUUAUAUAUGGGCAACCUUGAUUGCCCUGUUUAUAACAGAUUACAUAGAAAUACAUGUGAUACUGAGGAUCAAUCUACACAACUGUAUAGGAAUGAAUCCUAAUCAAAUCAAUCAGCCAUAACUACAUGAUAAUGACAUGAUUUGCUGUUUAAGAGAGGGAGAGAGGGAGGGAUGAUUACAGCACGGGCAGAAGAAGGGAUGCAGAUCUUUAACGUAGCACUACCCACCGUUCUCUCACUCUGGCCAUGGCGACAACCUUUCCGGAUGCUACAUGCUCGUCGUAGGCAACAUGGUAAUUGUGAUCUAUCCCGUCACCUGAAGUCACUUACUUGAUGAAGAUUUGGAUUACUUGUUCUUUUCUAACUCGGUUUCGUAAUAAAUAAGUUCUUCUACAUUCCGCUAUUUCACGGGACUUUGCAAUUGCAUGCAUUCCCUCAAUGAGCCGUGCGAGAUGCCGAUGGUGGCGUGAUGCGGGGCGGCAUGCAAGGUCGUGUGAUGCGGCAGGCGCGUGGUUGAAUUCUGACCGGCUAAGCAAUUAGUUGAAGCCAUAAGAAUUGAUGUGCUAGUUAGUUAGUUAGUUUGUUAGUUGCAUGCAAGUCUGUUUGCCGUGCAUGUGCAGGUGCUGGCCGGGUCAUGUGUUAGUGGCCGGUGUGAUGUGCAUGCAAGUUAGCUAGUGUGGGUCAUGCGUGCGUGUGGGACUUAGUGGCCGAAUGAGACGGUGUGGAAGAAGAAGAAGAAGGGCAGCUGAUCCAAACAGUUGUGUUCUUGUUCUUGUUCUUGUGAGAGGUGGUGUGAGGAAGAAGAAGAAGAAGAAGGGGAGCUGUGGACCUGCUCCAACAACAGUAAACCCAGACAUGUGAAUGUAUUAUGUACUGUGCGUACCAAGGAUGAAAAAGAAGCUGACCUGGCUGUUUUGCAGGGCGUGUGGUUAACGUCAUGACCUCUGGGCCAGAGGCACAACGACCAACGCAGGUACAGGUACAACCAGUUGAUGUGCGUCCAGCAGUUCCAUACACGGUGCGUACACACUACACACAUGCAUGUUGAAUUCACACUGAUGAGCUCACAUAUUUAACCCUGCUUUAUAUUAAAUAUAAUGAUAUGCAUGAUUAUAUAUAUAGAUCAAGGACGAUGAGCAGAAGGAUAUCAUGCCCGACAUGAUUGAUGCCAUCAAAGCACCACUGCGUUCGAUUGGUAGCGGAGAGAUUAAUGUUUCGGCCUAUGACACGGCAUUGGUCGCCCUUGUCAAGAACCAGGACGGGGGUGAGGGGCCACAAUUCCCCUCGAGCAUUGAUUGGAUUGUUCAGAAUCAGCUCCCGGAUGGUUCCUGGGGUGAUAAGCAUUUCUUUUUUAUCCAAGACCGGAUUAUCAACACCCUAGCAUGUGUUGUGGCGUUGGCGACGUGGAACCUUUACGGUCAAAAGUGUGAGAAAGGUACCCAUGUCUAUAUGUCUGUGAUCUUAUUGUUUCUUUAGACCAAUUGUACGUCUUCAUUGUCAAUUCAUUCAGAUAUAUAUCAAGCUGUCAUAUAUAUCUUUCAUUUGGAUUUACUUUUUUUUAAGGUUCUUCUAAGUGCCUUGCUAAUGUAGACAGCUGGGCGGUGUUCCUUUGUAGGUAUGCAUUUUAUUAGAGAACAUAUGUGGAGGUUGGCCGAGGAGACGCCAGAUGACUGGACGCUAAUAGGCUUUGAGAUUACUUUCCCCUCGCUCCUAUGCAUGGCUAAGGAUCUGGAUCUGGACAUUCCGCAUCAUGACCCAGCCUUGGAAGCCAUAUAUGCCAAGAGAAACCAAAAGCUCAAGAUGUACGCAUGUACAGAACCUGCUAAUUAAAUCUCUCUUUUAUAUGCAUGUUUAACUGGCUUCAUGUAACAAACCAAUUAAUCAGCUCACUCUCUGAAAUUGCAGGAUUCCCACAACUGUAUUGCACGCGGUGCCAACGACUCUGCUUUACAGUGUAGAAGGAAUGGUAAACUUGGACUGGAAAAGGUUACUUCAGUUCCGGUGUGCAGAUGGUUCAUUUCAUCAAUCACCUGCUGCAACAGCUUAUGCUCUCAAUCAAACAGGCGACCCAAGAAGCCUCAAGUUCCUUGACAGAAUCAUCAAGAUCUAUGACGGGGGAGGUAAAAACCCUGCUUCGGCUAGCAUUGAAUCGCACCCAUAUGCAUGCAUGUAUGUAUGUUGUUGCCUAGGGGUAUAUGGUAGGUACCCUUCGUCGGUCCAACUCUCUAUAGUUCAACUUAAUGAACACGAAAUGUGAAAUCGGAAUGUCCCCUAAAGGUUACCCAUUUGGGCAGACCUGUCUCCUAAAGACUUGUUUUGAGUCAACUACUCCCUCCCUCCCACAAUAUAAGAUCGUUUUGCAAGCUAUGUUGCCUCGGGAGUAUCUCCUAAAGACUGAAUUUCCAACAUUUAUAUUUCAGCGCCCUGUGUCCACCCUGUCGAUUUGUUCGAGCGCUUAUGGGCGGUGGACCGGUUGAUGCGUCUGGGCAUAUCGCGACACUUCACAAGUGAAAUUGACCAGUGCUUAGAUUAUGCUUACAGGUAACACAUACUGUCAAGCUAUUUAUUCAUUCUAGCUUAGCCCUACUCCUUGCAUUCUAUUUCUGAGAUGUUUUUAUGUAGGAAGCUAAACACGAGCGAAUUUCAUGGUCUGUGUUAUACUUGAACAGGCACUGGACAGAACACGGACUGAGCCACUCAGGACCUUGCCCAACUAAGGAUAUUGAUGAUACCGCCAUGGGUUUUCGCCUCCUCCGUUUGCAUGGCUACUUUGUCUCUCCAUGUAAUUUGACUAGUAAUUAUUUGCCAAACAAUGAAAUACACAUUUUCAUAUACUUUACUGAGGAGUUUGAUCAUGUACGUGCAUGACUGCACUAAUGAACACAUGCAGGCGUGUUUAAGAAGUUCGAAAAGGACGGCGAAUUUGUCUGCUACCCAGGGCAGUCCAACCAAUCCGUCUCUGCCAUGUACAACACAUACCGUGCCGCCCAGAUCGUGUUUCCAGCUGACGAGGAAGACAUUCUUGGGCGGGCCGAGCUCUAUUGCCGCACAUUCCUCCAAGAGAAGCGAGCCUCCAACAAACUGAGUGACAAAUGGGUCAUUUCCAAGGACUUGCCGGGCGAGGUAUGUAUUGUAUGCCCAAUAAAUUCAGGCCCGACGAACACCCUCAAAUGUCAUAGUAAUUCACAUAUACUGGUCUCCUUGUUGUGGGUGAUUUCAUAGACUAGUAUCAUAGUGCAUGAUAUCAUUUUAGUUACUUUCUUAUUGUAUAUAGUAUCAUAAUCUAGUAUCAUAAUGCCACCUUAUUUACUAAUUUGGCAAAUAUCAAUAUAAACUUAUGUACAAAUUUUGUUUAGUACUCCCUCCCUACCAUAAUAUGCUUAUAUAUUUGAUGUACUAUGAUGUUAUGUUGUGGGACGGAGGUAGUAUUAAACUUUGUGCUAUGAUACUUUAUCAUAUCAUGAUACUACUAUUACCUCUCUUGUCCUAUAGUACCACAUAAUUUUUCUUCUUCUUAUGUGACAAUUCAUGGUACCCUUAUGAUCCUUGCACAUUGGGAGGUCUUAGCUGAUACAUGCUUUUGUUGAUGUUGUAAUGCUAACAGGUAGAGUACGCACUAAACUUACCCUGGAGAGCAAGUUUGCCACGGAUCGAAACGAGGUUCUAUCUGGAGCAGUAUGGAGGCAGCAACGAUGUGUGGAUUGGGAAGGUCCUCUACAGGUAAAUAAACCCUGACAUUGUAUACCUAAUUAAUUCACAUAUACUUCCUCCGUUCUUAAAUACUUCCUCUGUCCCAAAAUAACUGUCUCAACUUUGUACUAGAUCUAGUACAAAUUUGUACUAAGCUCAAGACACUUAUUUUGAGACGAAGGGGGUAUAAGUCUUUCUAGAGUUUUCACUAAUGGACUACAUACGGAUGUAUAUAGACAUACUUUAGAUUAUAGAUUCAUUCAUUUUGCUCCGUACGUAGACACCUAAUGAAAUAUCUUAAAAGACUUAUAUUUAGGUACGGAGGGAGUAAGUUUUUUGGCAGCGGAACAUCUUGCAUCCCUUUUAGUCAUAAGUUUUAGCUGGGCGUAAGAGUGUAAACAAGGAAGAAAAUAUUUGUGUGAAUACCAUGGACCAAAAAUUGCAUCCAUGGAUUUACGCUACUCAUGCGAUACGUUUUGGAAUUUGUUUGAGUUGGAUGUAUGGUCAAGGUGCUCCAAGCCAAACUUAUUGAUCAUUGUUUCGUUUGUGUGCUCUUGUCAUGAAAGACAAAAAUGUCACAAUUUGAUGAAAUCAUGAACAACAGCACAACCAUGUUAAAACUUGGACUUAAGACAAAAUCUAGAUGUACACUUAUUCGCGGACGAAGGGAGUAUAGUUGACAUGCUACAUAUCUUAUCGCUAGGAAUGGCAUAACACUGGUUCUCACAAGGAAUGGCAUAACUUCAAAACACACUUUACCCUUUUUAGGUACCCCGAAGUAGUUUUUUUGUGACGUAGUUGACAUGCUACAUAUCUUAUCGCGAAUGCUAGAAACCUUUCAGGAUGCCUCUGUUCUGCAACGAUCUGUAUCUCAAGGCAGCCAAAGCUGAUUUCACCAAUUUCCAAAGAAUGUGCCGACUUGAGUGGUGUGGCCUCAAAAGGUGAGCCUGCCAAUUUCGCAAUAUCAGGAAUUUGUAUGGAUGACUAGUAUGUAAAAGCUAGAUUCUCACUCCUGUGAUCUUUUACGUAUGUAUAAACAGGUGGCAUGACAGGAAUAAUCUGCAAAUGUAUGGCGUGUCUCCAAAUAGCGCGUUGAGAGCUUAUUUCUUAGCUGCAGCAAACAUCUUCGAACCAGAGCGAGCAGCUGAGCGUCUGGGAUGGGCUCGAACAGCGAUUCUUACCGAGGCUGUCUCCUCAAACAUUCAAGACAAUGGUUCAGAUAUGAUACAUUGGCCAACUAGUGAAGUCGCUCGCGACCACCACAAGAAUCUCUCAAGGUUCUGUGUGGCAAACUUCUUUCUUCCCUUUCUUGUAAAGGAUACUAGUUUUGAUCACAGAGAUCAACAUAGCUUCUGCGCGCAUGCAGGGGAGCAAACAAUACGACAAACGACAUACUACGCAUUGUUGAUGAGCUUAUCAUGGAGUUGGGGCGAUUCGGUGAUGCUGCAGAUAAUCUGCGCCGAGCUGUAAAAUACUCUUCACGUUAAAUCUUUACCAUGAAAUGGGUGAAAAACUGUGAUCUAAUAACUCCUUUGGCAACUGCAGUGGAAGGAUUGGCUCAUGUCAUGGGCGGCAAGUGACAUAAAUGAAUCCUAUGAAUGGAGCACAGCAUUGUUGUUGGUUCGCACGGUCGAGGUCUGCUCUGGAAGGUAUGAUUCCACCAAGCAAAAGAUGAACAUUUCUGAGUAUACCCAGCUGGAGCAGCUCACCUCUUCCAUAUGCCGCAAACUUGCCCAGGUUUGUAACAACAAUUCUACAUACAUACAUAUAUAUGCACUGUAAACACAUGUAUUAAAAAAGAAUGUUUAUCAAUGAUUCAAGCAGUGUGGGCAAGAAAUGGAGAACAUUGAAGAAAUAGACCGACAGGCGGGUUUGGAGAUGCGAGAACUAGCUGAGCACGUCCUUCAGAGCUGCAAUGGCAUCAGCAGAUUGACCAAGCAAACUUUUCUCCAUGUUGUGAAGAGCUUCUACUACGCUGCCCUUUGCUCACACGACACAAUUGAUCACCACAUCUUCAAGGUCAUACUGGAAGAUGUCAUUUAGAGCAUUUGUAUUAAGAAUUGUGUUUCUGUAACAAGUCCUUAUUUAUUAGGCAGGGAAAUAAGCUCCGCCAUAUUAUCCUGCGGAGUGUUGAAACCCUAGCUUUGUUACCAUAGUCGGUGCUUUUCUGGACUGGCAUGAACUGACAUUAUCUGCUACAAACAUGAAGUUCUAAGAAAUGUUCGUACCGUUGAUGAAGCAUAUGUUUGGUUGCCACGGGCAAGAAAGGGAAUGAUGAGCUUGAGCCUAUUUGUAAGAAAUUUUGCAAUGACCUGUAUUGGAUAAAGGAGUAGGGUAGAGGCCGCAAAGGGGAUGAUGGGCAUCAAUUUAUUGCAGUUGCGGCGAAGGAGUAGGGUAGAAGCGGCUGAUGUCAAAUUUCCUAGUGUCAAUGAUAUCAUAGAAGUAGUCCUUGAGAGUAGAGGUUUCCAGUGAGCGAUCAUGAAAGUCCGCGCCUUGGAAGUGGAGAGGGGUGAUAGUAUUAUUCCGAAAGCGUAUGGAGGUCGAAGCAUGUUCAUUUGUGUGUGUGUGUGUGUUGUUUCAAGAGCAGAGCAAGUUCUCUGGUGGCUCCUUGUAAGGAUCUGAUGGCCACUGGUCGGAGAUUAAAUACAGCGCGGGAAAGAGGGCAAAACCGCCUCUUUUAAAUCAACAAAAGUUAUAACUGGUUUAGAGAAACUAAUUAUUAAUUGGGCCGGUCAUCUGCAACAGGCCGACGCUCUAAGACGAAGCAGCUGCAUUUUAGAGGUUGGGCCAGAGCGCAUGUAGUCCCAAGCGAGGCAGCGGCCCGUCGGUUUGGAGCCAAGCAAUGUUGGAAAUUUGCAAACAGGUUGGGCUUUCGGUCCAGGCACAUUCAAAUCUGAAUUGGUGGGAACACUUGAUGUGGAUGAUUAGUGGGACAUGAUCAGAUGUGCAUCUUGUAAGAGAGGAUAGUGCGGUUAAGGCCUUAAAGGGUACAACGUGUUCCGAGCUAGAAUGAAGAAUGCAUGAUCAAUUCUUUCCAACAUGGGGUCCUCGCGGUUAUUUGACCAGGUGAAGGGUCGAUCAAGUAAGGGCAAUUCUAGGAGCCCAAGAUAGUCAAUCGUUUGACUGAAAGUGUCAGCUUGAUGCACCCAGAAGUUACUGUUAUUUUUUGGUUGGAAACCCGAAAUAGAUUAUAAUUUCCACUGAUGAUCCACGUGGUGGCAUCAUCUUGUUUGAUUGUGUUCCUCAAAACAAUCUGACUUCAAUGCGUGGGAGGAGGGGGCUUAGACAUUUGUGGCAACGAAGUAUUGAUUCCGGAUGUGCGAUAUUAAGUUGAUGGAGGAUGAAAAGUGAUGAUUGUCGUCACUGGCAGAGCCUUGUGGAGGCCAAAGGGGGGCGUGACCACCCCCCCCCCCCCCCCACCCUCCAAAAUGGAAAAUCCUAUUCGCCGUCUGUUGCGUCAAACUGCUGGCGCUUCACACAGACGAGCGGCCGAGGAGCGCCGUGAUGGACCGGCCCUUCUAAGCACUUCAACGUCCCCAAUUUUGGGAACAUUCUAAAGAUUCCAGCCGUUUUUUUUUGGUUUUGGGAACUUCUACAAGGUUCCUACAUCGGGUUUUCUUUUGUUCUGUUUUUUCCAUUUUCCUCUUUUUUUGCCUUUUUCUGUUUUUGUGUUUCUAUUUCGUUUUCCUCUUUUCUUUUCUUUCCUUUCCUUUCCUUGCAAUGUUAAUCUUCUUUCUUCCCUUUCUUCUCAAUUUUUUUGUAAAUCAUUGUGUUUUAUUGAUUUGUUAUCAAGGAUUUUUUUUUAAAUGUUUGUAUUUUGAAAAAAUGUUCAGAACUUCAAAAAAUGUUCCCAUUAUUGUUUUGGAAUACAAAAAAAUGUUCACUAAUGUAAAAAAAAGUUCAUGUUUCAACAAUUGUUCGCAAAAUGUCCAUUUUUCAUGAGUUUAAAAAAUCUUCAUUUUCUAAAAAAUGUUUGCCAUUUCAAAAAUUGUUCGUGUUGUAUAAUUUUCGUCGGGUGUUUCAAAUAAUGUUCUUCAUUUUCUAAAAAAUGUUUUCCAUUUCAAAAACUGUGCAUAAGUUCAAAAAAUAUUCCUGUUUCAACAAAUGUACAUAUGUUCAAAAAAUGGUUCCACUUCAAAAAUUGUUCACAAAAUUCGAAAAAUGUUCUUUUUAAAAAAAUGAAAAUGCUCCUGUUUCCAAAAAAAAUCAUAGACUAAGAAAUUGUUUAUGUUUUCCAAAAAUGUUUGUGUAUUUCAAAAAAAUUCCAGAAAUUAAAUAAAUGUUCCCACUUUUCAAAUUUGAAUAAUAAAUUUUAAAAGUAUCCGAGUUUCCAAAAAAUAUGUUUGCAUUUAGAAAAGUACAAGAAUUUGAAAAUAUGUACCUGUUUUCAAACAAAAAUCAUAGUUUCAAAGAUUCUUCGAAAAUUCAAAAAAAAAGUCCAUUUUAGAAUUUUUCGGAAAUACAAAAGUUGUUCCCAUUUCUAAAUAAAUUAAUUUGUUCUUUUUUCGCAAAAAUGUUUGAGAUCCCAUAAAUGUGUUUUCACAAAAUUUUAGAGUUUGUAAAAUUUGUUCAUAAAUCUCAAAAAGAAAAACACAUUAGAAAUUUCUGAAAAAGUUCAUAUACACUGGGCUUCUAUUUUGUACAACAAAUCUUUGGGAAUUUUCGUGGCUAGUGACGUGGAUCAUUUGCAGUAGGUCUUCGGUUCAAGUCCACUCACAAACUUUAGUUUUUGGGAAUUUUAGGGAACUGUUGUUUUUGUUUGCCACAGUCGUUUUGUUUCUUGGCAACAUAUUUGGUGAAUCCUACCUAUUUUAUGUGUCCAUGUAGCCAGUCAGCUUCAACCCUACUAUCUUAAUCCUGAGCAUCACUGGCAGCCAAGCAACUAAUUACGUUUACCCGCCCGCUUUCUAACUUACCUCGUACUUUAUUCACAGAUGAGCCCCUAAAGCCUUUGACGCAUGAAUACGCAUACAACUUCUGUACGCCGUGCGCCGCCGUCGCCGCCGCCGCCAUCGCCAUCGUGUGCCUCCGAUUUCCGUCGGCUCGAUCCGGACGUCCACCGGCACCCACCAGGUAGUGUCCCAGUCUUGUGCCUGCUCGUCUGAUCCCACGUUAACACGAACGUGGAAACCAUCAGCAAACGUUUCAUGCACGUACUUCCCGAUCCAGACCUGUUUCCUGUAUAGCUGAUAAUACUUUGUUGCAGUAGCGAGUACCGACGAGCAACUUCCAAAUAGAACGAUGCCACCUACAAUCAGCGAUACGAAGGGCAUCAAAAGUUUGAGGUAAACUACACACAGAUUCAGUCCUUGUGUAUACACGUGUGAGUGUAGGUUGCAAGGCUAAUCAUGUGGCAUGUGUGCAGCAGUAUGGAUGGAGUGACUCGCGUUCAAAUCAAUGUGAACCAUGCAGGAUUUAGUACACCCCAAAAGAACACGGACAUAUCUCUGUUUGUAAGUUCAGUUUGCACUAACAAUUGAAAUUAUGCAUGAAAUGCUUAUUCCGCUUUAUUCUUGAUGUUGCAGCCUUCGUCUUUUACACCUGAAUGUGAGGAGCACUUCAAGCCUAAAGUGGGUAUGACAUUUGAAAGACUCGAGGCAGUGGAGAAAUUCUACAAGGCAUAUGCACAUGAAUCGGGUUUUGGUGUUCGUAUCGGACAAUACCUACAAGAUAGACUCAUGGGUUGAGCACCAUGUGUUGGAGAACGUCGCAUGGGAAACAAAAAUUUUCCUACGCGCACGAAGACCUAUCAUGGUGAUGUCCAUCUACGAGAAAUUCUACAAGGCAUAUGCACAUGAAUCGGGUUUUGGUGUUCGUAUCGGACAGCAGAAAAAGAUUGAGAAUAAGGUAGUCCGGACUAAGCGUUUCAUGUGUAAUAGGGAAGGAUUCAAGUCAAAAGAUAGUAAGGAGACAGGUGACCCCUUGAAGAAAAGGCGUAAGCAGACAAAUACGCGAUGCGGUUGUGAUGCUCAUAUCUUUGUUCGACUUUGUGGGGACAAUACCUACAAGAUAGACUCAUGGGUUGAGCACCAUGUGUUGGAGAACGUCGCAUGGGAAACAAAAAUUUUCCUACGCGCACGAAGACCUAUCAUGGUGAUGUCCAUCUACGAGAGGGGAUGAGUGAUCUACGUACCCUUGUAGAUCGUACAGCAGAAGCGUUCGAGAACGCGGUUGAUGUAGUGGAACGUCCUCACGUCCCUCGAUCCGCCCCGCGAACAAUCCCGCGAUCAGUCCCACGAUCUAGUACCGAACGGACGGCACCUCCGCGUUCAGCACACGUACAACUCGACGAUGAUCUCGGCCUUCUUGAUCCAGCAAGAGAGACGGAGAGGUAGAAGAGUUCUCCGGCAGCGUGACGGCGCUCCGGAGGUUGGUGAUGACCUUGUCUCAGCAGGGCUCCGCCCGAGCUCCGCAGAAACGCGAUCUAGAGGAAAAACCGUGGAGGUAUGUGGUCGGGCAGCCGUGAGAAAGUCGUCUCAAAUCAGCCCUAAUUGCUCCAUAUAUAUAGGAGGAGGGAGGGGGGCCUUGCCUUGGGGUCCAAGGACCCCCAAGGAGUCGGCCGAGCCAAAGGGGGGGAGGACUCCCCCCCAAACCGAGUUCGACUUGGUUUGGUGGGAGGAGUCCCCUUCCCUUCCCACCUCCUUCCUUUUUUUUCUUUCCUCUUGAUUUUUCUUCUCUUGGCGCAUUGGGCACUUGUGGGCUGUCCCACCAGCCCACUAAGGGCUGGUGUGGCUCCCCCAAUGCCUAUGGGCUUCCCCAGGGUGGGUUGCCCCCCCCCCCCGGUGAACUCCCGGAACCCAUUCGUCAUUCCCGGUACAUUCCCGGUAACUCCGAAAACCUUCCGGUAAUCAAAUGAGGUCAUCCUAUAUAUCAAUCUUCGUUUCCGGACCAUUCCGGAAACCCUCGUGACGUCCGUGAUCUCAUCCGGGACUCCGAACAACAUUCGGUAACCAACCAUAUAACUCAAAUACGCAUAAAACAACGUCGAACCUUAAGUGUGCAGACCCUGCGGGUUCGAGAACUAUGUAGACAUGACCCGAGAGACUCCUCGGUCAAUAUCCAAUAGCGGGACCUGGAUGCCCAUAUUGGAUCCUACAUAUUCUACGAAGAUCUUAUCGUUUGAACCUCAGUGCCAAGGAUUCGUAUAAUCCCGUAUGUCAUUCCCUUUGUCCUUCGGUAUGUUACUUGCCCGAGAUUCGAUCGUCAGUAUCCGCAUACCUAUUUCAAUCUCGUUUUACCGGCAAGUCUCUUUACUCGUUCCGUAAUACAAGAUCCCGCAACUUACACUAAGUUACAUUGCUUGCAAGGCUUGUGUGUGAUGUUGUAUUACCGAGUGGGCCCCGAGAUACCUCUCCGUCACACGGAGUGACAAAUCCCAGUCUUGAUCCAUACUAACUCAACUAACACCUUCGGAGAUACCUGUAGAGCAUCUUUAUAGUCACCCAGUUACGUUGCGACGUUUGAUACACACAAAGCAUUCCUCUGGUGUCAGUGAGUUAUAUGAUCUCAUGGUCAUAGGAAUAAAUACUUGACACGCAGAAAAUAGUAGCAACAAAAUGACACGAUCAACAUGCUACGUCUAUUAGUUUGGGUCUAGUCCAUCACGUGAUUCUCCCAAUGACGUGAUCCAGUUAUCAAGCAACAACACAUUGUUCAUAAUCAGAAGACACUGACUAUCAUUGAUCAACUGGCUAGCCAACUAGAGGCAUGCUAGGGACGGUGUUUUGUCUAUGUAUCCACACAUGUAAAUGAGUCUUCAUUCAAUACAAUUAUAGCAUGGAUAAUAAACUAUUAUCUUGAUACAGGAAUUAUAAUAAUAACUAUACAUUUAUUAUUGCCUCUAGGGCAUAAUUCCAACUCCAUGUUCAUGGUCUUGUCUCACCUGAUAAGCGUCAUUUGAUCAGAUCGAAUCGUAGAGUUAGUGAGAGGGCAAAGAAUACUUUAUACACAUGUCAUAAGGCAAGCAUUGGAACCUCCCAGGCAUACAGGCUCUUGCAAGUUAGCGGGGGUGGCAUUCCAAAUGUUGGUUGCUCAAAGAGGGACUUGCAGAAUUACUACCAGUCACUCAGGUAUAAAAUCAGAGAUGCAUAUGCUCAAAUGUUUGUGGCCCAAUUAGCUAGAAAGAAGGAAGUGAAUUCAGCAUUUUUCUAUGAUUUUGAGGUGAAUGAUGAGGGGAAGCUAGUGCGCGUGUUCUGGGCCGAUGCCACAAGCAGGAAGAACUAUAGUCACUUUGGUGAUGUCAUAUCCUUUGAUUCUACAUACACCACUAAUCAGUACAACAUGAUAUUUGCCCCAUUUACCGGGGUUAAUCAUCACUUACAAAGUGUAUUUUUCGCUGUUGCAUUCUUAUCAAAUGAGAAGGAUGAGUCAUACAUUUGGUUAUUUGAGACCUUCUUGAGAGCAAUGGGAGGGGUAGCACCUAGACUCAUCAUAACCGAUGAAGCCACUAGCAUAAAGAAUGGUAUUGACAAAGUUUUUCCAACCACCAUCCAUAGGUUGUGCAUGUGGCAUAUAAUGGAAAAGGUGCCUGAAAAAGUUGGACCUGUAGUUAGAGAAGAUUCUCAAUUUUGGACGAGAUUGAACUCAUGUGUUUGGGGUUCGGAAACUUCAACUAAGUUUGAGUUACAAUGGAAUUCCAUCAUUAUAGAUUUUGGGUUGGAGGAAAAUGAGUGGUUGACUAAGAGGUUUAGCAUUCGAGAUACAUGGAUACCAACCUACUUUAUGGAUAUUUCUCUAGCCGGCAUUCUCCGAACCACUUCAAGAUCAGAAAGUGCAAAUUCUUUUUUUAAUCGCUUCAUUCAUCGAAGACUCGCUUUUGUUGAGUUUUGGCUUAGGUUUGAUACAGCUUUAGAAUGCCAACGUGAGGAAGAAUUAAUGGCAGACAAUAGAAGCAUACAUACCACCCCACAACUAUUUACGCCAUGGACGAUGGAGAAACAAGGUAGUGAGGUAUUCACAUAUGAGGUGUUUGAGAAAUUUCAGCUACAAGUUCUUGCUGCUCGAGACCAUUGUUGUGUUCAAAGUAUUACACAAGGUGUGGGGGUAAAACACGUGACCCUUAGAGAUCGAUCUGGUAAGGUUAGGGAGGUCUGCUAUGAUACUGCAAGCAUGACAACAAAUUGUUCGUGCAAGUUAUUUGAGUCACUCGGUAUUCCAUGUCGUCAUAUUAUCCAAGUAUUGAGGAUUGAAAACCAAAAUGAGCUUCCUAGCUGCUUCAUUAUGAAAAGAUGGCAGAAAAGGUGCAAAAGGUAAAAAUAAUAAUGCACUCCAGCCAAAUUUUUUGGUUAUUCCAAAAUCAUAUGACUAACAACAUUCUUUUGUUUUUUAGGGAGAAUGUUUAUGAUGAACAGGGGAACCUACUAGAAGAAAAGCCCAUGGAUUCACUAGAUGCAGCCACGAGAAAGAAGAUCUCGUCUAUACGAGAUAAGAUGGAAGAGCUUAUUCAAAAAGCAAAGCAUUCAGAUGAAGGCAUGGACUUCUUAACAUCAAGCGUGAUGAACAUUGAGGCACCUUUGGACCAAAUGGUCCCUGCAGCCACCCAAAGCAGUAGGCAGGAGGAAUAUGAGGCUUUUAUUGGUUGCAAUAUUCCCACUGAAGUUCAUAUACAUCCGCCGACUGAUGUUCGUACUGUCGGGAGAUGCAAAAGAAUAAAGCGAGGAAAGGAGAUCAAGGACGGGGUUCAAAAAAAUAAGGUCAAAGAAGGGAAUGUAAAAGUCGCACGCUUGUGCAAGACAUGCAACCAAAUGGUAUUCCAUGAUAGUCGUAAUUGUCCAAGCAAAAAAGGAAAAGGGAGUGUGAUUGUGCAAGAUAUGCAGCCAAAUGGUGCUUCCUGAUACAGUCCAAGCAAAGAAUGAUUUUAUCUAUGUUAUCAUGUACACUUUGAUGUACAGAAUUCAUCUAAUGAUGAGAAUUUGUGUUAUGUGAAAUUAAAUUUGACUUGAUUUCUCACAAGUUUGAUGCUUGUCAAAUUGCUACAGAAUAUCGAACAUAUUUAUCAAUUUCAGACAUUUUUACCAGCUAUGCAAGCAUGAUUAAUAAUCUGGUUUAUAUUUAAACGUGUACUGCUCUGUAGUGGCAAUCCAUGCAAGUUUAUUUACUUUUUAUUUUCUGGUCGGACUUCCAUCAUCUAGUAGCACACAAUGAAGUUUGUAGGUGUUCUCAAAACUGGACAUAGCCAUCCCAGAGCACUUCUGUACUUCAAAAGCUUUACUGAAAAAUAAAAGCUUUGAGCAAAGGACUGAGAUAUUAGUUAAGGCAAUCCCAGAACAUUAGUAAAUGCCAUCCCAGAACAUUUCUGGUGAUUCUCUGAAUAACUCACAGAUUUUGGGAUGUAGUCACUGAACUUUAUGAAUGUUCAGGAAAAAUGGACAGUGACUUGCUGCUUAUAGCUUACAUAUCAAAACUUAAGAAAGCCAUCCCAUCCCACUUCUACAACUCCAAAUCUUUACCGAAGAGUAUAUGCUUUGACCACAUGACUGAGAAAAUCACCGAUUUUAUUCAACGUGUAAGUACAUAACUGAACUAGCCACUAACUUUUGUGGCAACAACAGGCAGGAUAAUUUAACAAGGCAAAAGCUCAACCAAAGCCUCUGAUCUGAGCCACGCAUAUCACGUAUUAGUUAGUAAUUUAAAAAUGAAAAGAAACAUGUGAAAACAUCUCACACGAUGCCAUUUAUUAGGUGCGAAUACUGAUACAGUUUACUCAUAUGAGCAUAGCACUAGUACAUGUGCUUCUACAGGCUACAGGCUACAUCACUGUGGUUUCCUAUGGGUGAGAGGCUGCAACUUCCUACGAAGGAAUCGUCGCGGUCUGGCAAGGCAUCCAGAGUGGUGUUGGCACAUAAUCAUCCGCGUCGUCACCUCCUCAGAACGUCAUCACUUGGCAUGGCUUCGCCGUCGAGACGGCCGACCUGGUGGGUGCCGUCGAAACGUGGGAUCAGACGAGCAGGUACAAGACUGGGACACUACCUGGUGGGUGCCGGUGGACGUCCGGAUCGAGCCGACGGAAAUCGGAGGCACGCGACGGCGAUGGCGGCGGCGGCGACGGCGGCGCACGGCGUACAGAAGCAGUAUGCGUAUUCAUGCGUCAAAGGCUGUAGGGGCUCAUCUGUGAAUAAAGUACGAGGUAAGUUAGAAAGCGGGCGGGUAAACGUAAUUAGUUGCUUGGCUGCCAGUGAUGCUCAGGAUUAAGAUCGUAGGGUUGAAGCUGACUGGCUGCACGGACACACAAAAUAGGUAGGAUUCACCAAAUAUGUUGCCUUGUUUCUUUACGUAUGGCACUGCAAAUCUCACAUUAUUUAUUCUUAGGCGCAGCGGCUAGCUAAGAUCAGGAAUUGCUAAGAGGUCAUGGGAUCGAUUCACAAUAUAUGAGCUUUCUUAUUUUUGCUUUUUUUCGUCUGCAAACGCGAUGCCUCCUACUGCCACGGCAAAUGGGCCAGUCCAGGUAGCCACAUAAAAAAGAUCGAUAAAAAUGCCGAAAACCCCCGGGGAAAAUACCUCCUAUAAAGCAGAAAAUGCAUGUGCAAAAAAAAUCCGAGUGUCCAGAACGCGACACGUGACGGCGGCUGUCAAAGCCCACUCCAGAUGACCCUUGGAGUUACCGAAGAAACUGUGGAGCUGGCGCUAGAUGGGCCGCUGACCAUCAUUUGAAAAAGCGAUCAUGGUAGAUGGCCUUUGUGGCGUUAGAUGUGUGGUGACCGCUCACCACAAAACAUUGAUCGACCCCUAUAAAUUCAAAAUUGACAGUUGACAUUUUGAAAAAACACAUAUUUGAACAGAGUUCAUAAAUUUGCAAAAAACAAAUCACAAGUUGGAAAAGUUUGUAAUCUUAAAAAAAUCGCAAAAGUAAAAAAAGUUUACAAAUUUAAAAAAAGUUCAAGACUUGGAAAUGUUUGUGAUUUGAAAAAGUUCAUGAAAAUGAAAAAAAUCUCAAGUUUAAAAGUAGCUCGUGUAUAUGAAAAAAUCGACGAACUUGACAAAAGUUCAUCCAUUUGAAAAAGUGAAAAUAAAACCAGCAGGACAUUCAUGUGAAGAUUCUCAAAUGCCAGUUGGGCCAGAGAGGGCCGUUCUAAACCCAUGGACAUACAAACCCAUUUUAAAAUAAAAUGCAUUUUAGCACGUUUUAAAGUGUCAGAAAAUUCAAAUAAAAUUUCACGCAUACAUGUUCGUAAAGUUGGAUGCACUGUACAAAGUUUUGUGAAAAAGUUUCUUUCUGUUUUGUCUCCGCAAAAAAGAUAAACUUCAGUUCUUCUAAAUAGCGUUUCAAAGACGCAUAUUUUUUCCUUUUUUGCACAGGCCACAAUUUUUUUAUGAAACCUUGUGCAUGCAAAUAGAACAUAGAGACGUACCCAUGAGACUUAUUUUCAGAUUUUUUUUGAGCAUUUGAAAAUGGGUUUUUCGAAGUGGGUUCAUAUGUGCCCGGGUUCAUCCAUGCACUUUCCAUUGGGCCACUGCUUUCCUCUUUUUCUUCUUCCUGAGAUUCUAAAAAAAAACUAUAUAUGUAUAAUACGUUGUUGAAGCUGAGUUGGAUGCAGAAGAUGACAUUGCAGAUAUUCUUAUCGGAGUAUUAUAGCAGGAACCUGACCUAAGUUAUUGCAUUUCCACAACAAACACCAGAUAACUAACAACUACUUGUGGAUACAUGGUUAGAGCAUCUACAACCGGCCUUCUUAAAUCCUUUUUCGGGAACGUGUCCGGUCAAUGACUAAACAUGAGAGGAGGAAAAAAAUCACACACUCGAACCCCAUAUAUCAUCCAUAGAUGUCUGGGUUGUUCGUUAACUCUUAUAUUAGGACAAAUGUUGGAAUAAUAUGAUGGCUCGCAGCCGCACCUGGACAGCCCGCCAUGUAAGACACAGCCCAUCACAGAUCAUCUUUUCUCUUUCUUUCUUUAUUUAUUUACUUUUUUUCAUAUUUACUAAUCAUGUAUAAAUAAUCGGGCAUAUAAGAAAAAAAAUGAAGAGUAUCACUGCAUGGACAGAAAAUAAAGAUUCAAAAUGGAUAUAUCCGGUCGCGUCCAUGCACGUUUAGUCUGGCAGAUUUACUAACUUUGGUUGUAGAUGCUUUUAAGCUACCAUACGUGUAUUAUCACAAGCUGACAUACUACACGAACUGUAACAGCGACCGCAUGAAAAUAUUUCCAUCAGAGAUGUUGAGUAAAUAGAGAAUUUUUUGAGUAGAUUAAUCCAUAAAAUAAUUACUAACACGGCAACACAACAAGUGUCAAAACACAGAGUAGUGCAUGACGCCCAAAUCUGUUACUCCCUCCGUUCGUAAAUAUAGGAUGUUCCCAAAAAAAAACCUGUUUUAGCGAAUCUUAUGUUUAGUUACUUUUUCAUUUCAGUCUGUAUUUAACAUAUAUUGAAAUAUUCAAAAUAUCUUAUAUUUGUGAACGGAUGGUGUGGCAUUUAGGGCAACCUGAUUUGUUAGUAUGAUUCUAUUUGUCGAAAUUUGUAGACCAAGCUAAGUGUGACACGGUCCUCACAGUUCGGUCGGCAGUUUUCGACGAUGCAAAUGCAAAUGAUCAUCAUUUUUGGCCUAUAGCCACUGUACGAUACAAAAUGCACAGUAUACUUCUCGAGCAUAGUUGGAUGAAAUUUUGCAAUGGCAACAGCCUGCUCUGUGGCCUGGAACAGUGAAAAGUACAUGGUCUGGAAUCGAGACAUUUAUUUUGAAACGGAGUGGUUUUGGAUGAGAUUCACGGUAAUAUAAGGAUUAUGCGGGCCAUAGGGGGAACCACGCGUGGUUUAUUGGCCUGGAAAUUGUGUGUGACUUGUGAGAUGCCAAGAUUGGCAUUGCAUCUCAUGGAUAUGAAUAAAUGAGAUGAGCCUACCUACUGUUUGGUGCAGCAAGGAGGACCAACCAUCAACUUAAUUACCUUGGGCUUAUGCGGGAUCAGCAUACGUAUGCGUGCAGGCAGACUCACUACAUAGUAGUGAUUUCUGCUGAUGCGUACGGCCGGGAAAGAGGCAGAGAGUAAGUAAUGACUCCAUCAGACAGUAGCUGCUGAGCUGCAGGAUGAGCCAUACUCGAUCAGACAGUGUCUGGCCCCGCCAUCCAGUCCACCUCCGUAGGCCAUGCUGCCGACGCCGACAUGGGGAAACUGUCAUUUUCUAUCCCGGAGGGGAGAGUUUUUUCGUUUGAUAAAUUUUUUGGUCCAUUUCCUUUUAACAUGGUACAGAGUCAUAUAAAUGCGCAUAUACAAAUUCAUAUAAAUGUAUGAACAUUUUUGAAAUAUUAAAUCGGUAUAUCAUCUUGAAAUUUUACGAAGUCACCGUAUGAGCCUCGUAGUCAACAAGAAUGUCUCCUUUCAUUAAACACACAUCGUCAAAAAUCUUAAAAUAAAUCCAGAAUAAAGGCGAGCAUCAAGACUUGAAUCCUGAUGGACUAAGGAUACCAUUGUUUUUCUAACAGUCUAAUUAUUUUCAUCGGCAGGUUAUAAACUAAGCACAUCUCAACGCACUUUCGAAUCAAAGAAGUUCGUCGAGAAUGUCUACAUGGAGACACCACCUUUACCAAACAAACAAGGCAACGAUGCAAGUACUUCGUUUCUGAUUCCGACCAAGAAAGUUCAUAAACGAGUUUUCAUCCUGAAGAUGAAGCGGUGUUUGAGUCAUCAUCUUCACAAUGUGACUUUCGAAAAGCGUGGCAGCCAAUACUCCGGCACAAAACCACAACUGUCGGGGAGUUGGCAAACUAACGCCGCAAUUUGUUCACUGCCACCAAAACCCGAGUCAAUCAUUCUCGGGCCGUCUAGUUGCCUCCGUGUUAUAUCAAUGGGUCUGGGACAACAAACACACCGAGCACAUGAUGUGUUCUGGCUAACGCACGGCCAUUUAACUCCUGGUCUAGUGUGGGUCGAGUCUGAUCGAUCUAGUAGCGGAUAGCGCCAGCCGCCACUCCUUCAACAGAGCUCGCAAUGAGCUGUUGGGAGCAUUGUCAGCGCUUAGCCGACAAUGCUUCCUGCCCGCCACGACCAACUAAGAAACAUGUAUGGCCUCUUGCCAUUACCAACUAGAGGUGAGGGGAAGCCCGGGAAGGGAGCAGGAAUUGCGGCGGUUGUAGAUCACCUUCCGUGCCGCUCGACUGUUGGGAGGGGGGGCGGGGUUUAAUAUUUUUUGGUUACUGGCUCAAAAAGUGCACCCGGCACAAGAUACAAUACGUAUAGAUGAGAAUAAAUUGAAGCUUAUUUUAAGAAUUAUAAUUACACCCUCCGUUUCAUAAUUCUAGUGUUGAUUUUAGUUUAGUAAAGAAGGAUGCUAUUUAAUUUCUUUCGUUUUCCUGGAAUUAGGAUGUGAUCCUUUUUUUUUUUCAUUAUUCCUAGAAGCUAUAUCUAGGAUGCAGUAGUGUUUCUGGUGACGGGGACAACCGAAUCCCUUCUUCUUGGAUCAUGCACAACUGGGUCAACUGGGUAAAAAUACUACUCUACCCAGAGGAAUUGGAAGCUAGCCUAGGCAGCUAGUAGAGUACUAGCUAGUGGCACGUGUUCCUAUAUAUGCUGUGGAUCUGGUUGACUUGUCGUGUCUGACCCAAGUGACCAAUCCAAGUUGGUUACUGUGCCACAUUAAUUAGACAAGACGCCAUUGUAAAUUUGUAAUCAUCCAUGGACACAAACAUUGUUUUCUUUUCUCUCGUGAGAAAACAAACAAGUGUUAGAUCGGCAUCGUGAACACAUGCAUGCAUGCAUAAUACUCUCUCCUUUCUAAAUAUAAGACCUUUUAGAGAUUACAUUAUGAACUACAUACGGAUAUACAUAGAUGUAUUUUAGAAUAUAGAUUCAUUCAUUUUGUUCCGUAUGUAGUCUCCUAGUGAAAUCUCUAAAAUGUCUUAUAUUUUGAAACGGAGGGAGUAUAAAUCUCUCUAAGGCCUUGUUCGGUUGCAACAGAUUCGAAGGGGAUUGGAGUGGAUUGGGGAGAAUUAAAUCCACUGUAAGUCAAAUUCCACCUCAAUCCCCUCCAAUCAUCUUCAAUCCUCUUGUGAUGGGGAUUAACCGAACAAGCUCUAAGGGUUUUACUAAUGGACUACAUACGAAUGUAUAUAGACGUAUUUUAAAGUAUAGAUUUACUUAUUUUGCUUCGUAUGUAUACACCUAGUGAAAUAUCUUAAAAGACUUAUAUUUAGGUACGGAGGGAGUAGUUGCAAGCAAUUAUUUAUAUGCAACAGUUGCAGAUGAUGGUGCAUCCACGAUCUCCUGCUUCUUCUUGGGCUCCACCAUUCAUCUGGUCUGAUCUCAUCAUCUAUUGAUAGCUCACUCGAGACGAAUCUCGGCCCCCAGACAACAUGGUCGACGCAACCGGACAAAUCAAUCCAGCUAUUCCACUUAUGCAUGCUAUAUUGACUGAAAAUUGUAAAUUGCACGUCACAAAACCAUCUACUUCCAGCCAUAUCCUUCAUGAUGGUCUGUGCAUGUACGUACCAACAGGAUCAUCUACCUUGCUGUCUGUACCAUUUCUCAAGUAAAAAUGUUGCUGACACACACACACACACACACACACACACACACACACACACAUAUAUAUAUAUAUAUAUAUAUAUAUAUAUAUAUAUAUAUAUAUAUAGGCAAGACCAGCAUGCAUGUAGAACAUUUGUAUUAAAUGUGUUCUGGUUUAGUCUACACAGCGCAAGAAACAUUUCCUCUUAUGUGUUGUCUAAAUGUAGGGAAGGAAAGAGGCUGGAAUUAUUCUCGUACUCCGCGUGCACUUGCCUCANNNNNNNNNNNNNNNNNNNNNNNNNNNNNNNNNNNNNNNNNNNNNNNNNNNNNNNNNNNNNNNNNNNNNNNNNNNNNNNNNNNNNNNNNNNNNNNNNNNNGUGGACGGCACAGGGCCCUGACUUUCUAGGGGCCCCAAAUUUUCAAGCAUAGUCCAUAUCCUACUGACCCACUAAUUACAACAUCUGCAUGCAGGCCUACCAUGACGGGGCACGAUGCCACGAUCAAUCUAGGGGCCUCGAGUCUAGAAGCAAAUCUGCGCGGACGACCACUCGGCGAGUUCUCUAGUACCGCACGGCCGCAAGGCAUCUCUUUGCAAGGAGUAGGGGAGAAGGUCGUGGAGAGCGCUGCCGUCGGUGUAUUAGGCCGAGAGAACCAGCAGCGUAAACGGAACACGCACUCGCCGAUGUCGGCGGGCGGGACUAGCGAUACGUGUGCAUAGCUGUGCCUUGUACUUUCUCAUGUAGAGAGAUAUCGAUGUGCCAAGCGGCGGCACAGAGUUGAAUCUGCGGGUGGUACCCGGUUCAUCAGCAACCUGAAUUUCCAUGAAGCACCCGUCUAACACCUUCUUCUCUUCGUCUAAACUGGUACGAUGUCCUCCUUAUUCAUGCUUUUUUUUUCAUACACGUACAAAUCAGAGACUAAGCUUUCUAGCUUUUACGAUUCAAUUUCAUGAUUUCUUUGGUGAAUCAUUCAAAGAAAAUUAAGCAGUCAGAUUCGACCUCAAUUUAGGGUUUGGCACAGGGCCCCUGAUUUUGCCGGCCCGGCCCUGCAUGGUGCCAUGCAUGGUUGGUUGGUCACAAAACUAACCCAGGUCUCAUGUGGCUCUCACUAGCCACUAGCUUCAGUUUCAUGCUACCCUAGCUAGCAAGGUCGCGGUCACACUUUCAGCACUAGUAGAUGUCUUGUUUCCUCUCCUUUUUGACAUCCAUUGACUAACUAGCUAGGGGUGAGCUUACUACUUGUAGAUGUUGGUCAAUUUGUAGCUAAAGAUUGAAGUUUGGUCAACACAUCAUGCAUGUCGGGAUCACCACGGUUUCUCGGAUCAUACCACAUGAAUCUCGACACACAUUUGUGUGCCCUCUACUAUAUCAGUUGUGCCAUUUUGAUACAGAUGCAUAAUGUAUGUUAUGUCAUCUUCAAGUCGGUCUUCUGGGCUUUGCUUAUCCUCGACUCCAUCCUUGAUAGAGCUCCGGUGUAUGUGCACGUCAGCGAGAUCUGGUGUCACACACUUCAGAUCGAUUCAAGGUUUCAACAUGACGACUGCAGCUCUAGGGCGCUGGUGCUUAGCGGCAUAUGCACAAAGACUUUUCAGCCGUCAUUGACAAUGUCAUGCUGAUUCCAGUACGGGAGUGGCAACAAGGGACUCUUGGUUGGUGGUCCAAUGACCUCGAUAUGAUGUUUAUUAUAUUUGCGGGUGAUUUGUACUAUUGAUGAACUUUUAUAAUAGAUAUGCGUCCUUAAAAAAAUCUCAAUCCAAGUUUUUGCAAGAAACCAAAAUUUAUGUUCCACUAAGAGAUUAUCUUAAAUAUUAAUAAUAAUGUGGUAUGACAUGUCGACAAGCUAGACAUUAACAUUAAUUAAUGAAGAGAAAGGGAGAAUGAACCAGUGGAUGAACUGGGACUUAUAGGGACGUUAAGCUAAACAAUUGAGAUUUUGUUUAGUAGUCUAUAUACUUAGCAACUAUGGCCCUCAAGAUGUGUCCUCUAGUGGGCAAUUGACUCAGCUCAACUCCUCCUCUCGGGGGACUGAGCAACACACCAACAUGAGAUGGAAAUUUGCUCAACAAUUUGUUCCAUCCAUUCUGUUGUACUACUAGAUACUCUCACACCGUACCGACUAGCUCGACCACGCUUGGCCUCGAUCUGCGCCUCGGCUGCUAGGUGCUCGGCAUGCGGGGUGGUAUAUAUUGCGUCUUCGUCACCUCCUUCAAGAGGAGGUGGAUGUCGUCACCCCCCGCCCUCGUCGACGUGAUGGAUCAAAUGGUCCGGCAUUGUUGGUUUUGUGCAUGUUCUCAAUCUCCUCUGUAAACUAAGUACACGCCCUGAUCCAGGUUGCACUUGGGGUUAUAUGGAGCUGCUAGAUGGAUCGGAUCGGAUGGAUCACCCUCAUGCAUGUUUCACCCCUGAUCUCUUUUGGUGAGAGAAAGGUAUGAGUUGGUCCAACAUUGUUGGUUGGGGUUUUGUGUGAGGGCAUAUGCAUGGAGAUGGAGCCUUGCAGAAGAGCUGCUAGCUUGGCCCGGCCGAUGCCUCACACCUAACACAUGCAUGCAUUCGUCUUGGAUCGCUUCUCCAUGCAUGAAAACAAAAAUAAUCCUAGACCGAGUCUCGUGCAUAUGGCUCUCACUAGCUUCAGUUUCAUGCGAUCCUGGAAGUUAAAGGUCACACUCACCGUGCUACGUACCAUCCCGAUCCAAGCUAUUGGCAAGAAACCAAAAUUCAUGUUCCCCGGAUAUAAAUUAACUUAUAAAUAAUAGUAAUGUUCGUACGACACGUCGAUGAGGAUGACGUUAACACAAAUUAAUUGAGAGAAAGGGACAAGGAAACAAGGAUGAACUGGGACCUAGGGCAGCUAAGCUACUGAACAAUCGAUGGAGGCAGGUGAGCAACUGGGAUUAGCUUAUAUGUUUGUUUAGUGGUCCAUAUCUACUUAGCAACUCUGGCCCUCCCAUGCAUGAUGUAUCCUCUGCUGCUGGCUAAUUGAAUUAGCUCAACUCCUCCUCUCAUGACUCAUGAGACUUGAGCAACAUUUUUUCGGAAAGUAGAAUGACCCCGGCUUCUGCAUCAUGACGAUGCAUACAUUUAUUUUAUUAAUUGUUUAACAAAAUUUUAUAAAGUAAUAUAUCAAUAUGUCUGAAGUCACCAUCUUGACGACAUAUGUCCCUACUCCUAUCGACUUGAUGAAGGGGUAUAAAUUGUCUGGGCCACAUACCCACACCUCAUACCAAAGCACAACAUCUAAAAUCGGAGGCCCUUACAAAGUUGUUAAUGGGUUUGACUCGCACACCGAUGCGGCGCACUCUCAACGGGUACCGCAUGCACACCCUGCAAUUACCGUGACCAUCGUCUUCCACCGAUCCAUCUUCGAAGCAGGUACUGACGCAUCCACCUUGCGAGGCCUGCCGUCGAUGCCACCAUGCGCCAGACAACGCCGCUACCCUACGCGCGUCCAUCAUCACACAUCCGUCGCCGAGACCCUGCAACACCAUGUCACCGAGACUCCACAUUGUCGAUGCUUCACAGGAAUUGCUUAGCCGCUACACAGCGAGCAGGUCGCACCGGCCAGAUCAGAUCUGACCGAAGGCCAGACCACCCAUGACGCCGACCCGUCCACCAGGCCCUCCAUGCCACCGCCGCCGAUCCGAGGAUAGAUGACCCGUUGUCGCAGAUUCAGUCGCCGCCACCGAACACAGCCAACGUCGCUGCCCAAGGCAAGGCUGACCGCCAUGCCCGCAACAAUUGCUGCCCAAGACAGAGCCAACCAUCGUGUCACUGGCGGUCAAGGCAGGGACGCCCGCCACGCCGCCAAGGUCAGGCCAGUCACACCUCCUCACAUCGCGGGAUUCCGCAUCACCCCCAUGGCACAGGAGAGAGGGAGGCCCCCGCCAUCGCGAUCGGGGGACCGAGCAACAUGAGAUGAAAAUUGCCUAAUCACAGACAUGCAUAGCCAGCCUAUAAUUAGUUAAACGAGGGGCGUGAACUUGAUAUUUCCAUUCUAUAAUUCUAUGAAUAAAUUGGGGCCUCCACUUGAUACUUUCACACCAAGCUGCACGCAUGCAUGGUCCCUCUCGUUGAGGGGGUCGAUCACAGUUAAUGCAAAACCCCACACACACUGCCAUUGGCCUCAGGUUGCAUUUGGUAAUGCCCUCCUCUCCAUUUUCAGAUCCAUGUUUUUCGUGCAUGCAUGCAUGUACCUACUUUUCACAUCUACCGUUUCAAAAUAACUAGGAGUAGUUAGGGUCCCAAAAAGUGAAAAUAGAUAGGACUGAAUUUUAGACUACUCACAAUGGAGAGUAACAUGGAGCACGAAGUAGUAACAAGUAUAUGUUACUAGCCUAAGGCCCUGUUUGUUUUAAAAUUUCCAGAACUUUUUUAGUCCCAACUAAAAAAUCCCUAGUCCCUACCGUUUUGUUUUCAUGGACUAAACAGAGAUUAGAGGUCAUUAAAUAAAAUACAAAAAUCCCAUGUUACCCCUAGUAAUGUAAUAAAAGUUAUUAAAUGACAUGCUAAAAGUAGGGGCACUGUUGGAAAAAGUGCCAAAAACUUCCAAAAAGACCCUUCCAUAGGGACUUCUUCCUCUAGUCCCAAAUACCUCAUUUUAGUCCUUAAAAGUCCCUCCUACUUGUUUCACAUGGGAUUAAAAGAGACUUUUUUUAGUCCCUACACCAAAAAGUCCCUGGAAACAAACACCCCCUAAGUUACUAUCUUCACAGUGAAUAGUAACAUAAGGAUACUGCCUCCGUCACGGUUUAGAAGGCACGGCUAAUUCACGUGCAUUUUCACAACAGACAAGGUUUAAGGCGCAUUGCAUUUACUCCUAGCAUCUAAUUAGUAGCUCGUUGUACUACUUCUAUAUGCAUGUGUAGUGUGAAAACUAUUUUAACUCAUUUCACAGCCAAUCAAUAACCACCUAGGUUCUAGAGAAUUUUCAUGCACGUCUUCUAAACCGUGACGGAGGGAGUAGUAAUGUUGAGCCUUUCAUUUAUUAGUUUUUCCUUGAUAUGAGUAACUAGUUAAGUUACUCAAUUUAUCUCUCUUUUCAUUAGUUAGAGAAAGAUCCUUUUCUCUCCCUAAAGUCAUUUAAUUACUUACACAAUACAUGAUGGUUGUGGUGGCUUCGUCCAUAUUCAUGCUCCGCGGGUCUAGUCUUUACUAGAUUUUGUAUGAGUGUGGUCAUGUGCGUGUAUAUGUCUCUCUAUGUUUAUGAAAUAAAACCCACAUAUAUGUUAGGUUUCGUGCGUUCUUAUAAUGGUGCGAUGGGUGGUUUUGAGAUAUCCACACUCCGUGACUUUAGUCUUCACUAGGCUUCUUAUGAGUGCGGUUGUGGCGUUGUGCGGUUUUAUAUAAGUUUGUCAUGUUUAUGCUUGGAUGCCACAUCAACUACCAAUGAUGUAACAAUCUAUAUUUAUCUACUCAUAUGGUGUGUGUGGCGGUUUUGUCUAUAUUUGUCAUGUACGACUUCAGUCUUUACUAGAUUUUUGUAUGAGUGAUGUUGUGUGGUUUUGUAUGAAUCCGUCGUGCUUACGCUUGUGUGUCACAUCACCUAGUCAUGAUGUAACAAUUAAUAUUUGUCUACUCAAACCCAAUUCAUGCUGAUAUGGUAUUAUUCAAGCACUUCUACAUCUUAAAAGCCCAUUUCAAUCAUUGGCUCCAUGCGUGUAUCUUUUUUCUCCUUGGGGAGGUCAAAUGAACGUCUUUCUUAAUUUAUCUCUCCUCUUCUUGAUCCAAUUAAGACAACAAAAUCCCUCCGAAUUUAUCAAGAACAUUCAGACAUAACAUGUUCAAAUUUAUUACAUGUCCUUACUUCCAACACAAUUUUCACUUCAUAAUAUCCAACUAUCUUGCUAAGAAUCAACAAAGGCUUCUAUAUCUCGGUUUGAUUGGAAACUAAAUAAGUUACAAUGAUUUUAUAGAUUUUAUUUUUGUGAAAAUAAAUCUAGUUUUUUUCCAUAGACAUGUAAGGAAAGAUCCACUAUCAUUAAAGAAAAUCGCUCAUGUAAUAAAUAAAUAUAAUGUAAUCCUAGACGCCUAAAAGUCAACUAAAUCUCAGUCGAUCUUACAAAUAUGUCCAUGCAAAACUAAAAAGAAAUCAUUGUGAUGUAAUAAUUUAUUUAUAUGCUGCAAGAAUUGUAUUAGUUGUUCAAUUAUUGCCAAAGUUUAGAAAGGUAUGAAAUCUUGCACAGGUUUCAAAUGUCAGACUCGGCGUCAAACAACUCGUACCCGGUUCGAUAUUAAUGAAUUUGUUUAAUGCUUUCAUCUCCAUUUUCAAAUCCAAGUUUGUCAUGCAUGUGCCUACUUUUCAUGUAUUUGUCGCUUCGACUUGAAUGAAAUAGUUAGGGAUCCUAAAAAGGGGGAAAUAGUAGGUUUCAAUUCUAGAUGUAGAUUAUUUUGCUCGCAGAGUCACUUAAUUUCGUAACAAUACGAGAUGGUCAUGGUGAAGGACGGAGCGAGGAUCUAUGAAAGGUGGGAGCCAAACACAAACAACCAAACGUUUAGGGGGGGGGGGGGCAAACACUAAUUUGAUGGGUAUCUUUGCAAUUUUUUCAUGAAUUUAGAGGGUAUAUGGACAAAAAUAUUCAACCAUGAGGCUCCGUGAAUUGAGCCUUUACUAGGUUUUGUAUGAGUUUGGAUAUUGUGCAAUGGGAUAUGCUUAUAGCAACAUCAACCACCCGUGACGUAACGAUAAAUAUUUAUCUACUCAAAUAAUGUUUGCGGUGGUUUCAUUGUUAUUCACAAUCCACGACUUUAGCCUUUACUAGGUUUUGUAUGAGGGUGUCGUGCUUACGCACAUUCGCCACAUCAAUUGCCCAUGAUGUAGCAAUUAAUAUUUGUCUCACAAAUCAAGCUCGUGCUUGUAUGGUUUAUUCAAACACCUCAACAUUUUCUAAAUGGAUUUCAGUCAUUGGUUCAAUGCUUGUAUCUUCUCUCCUUGGAGAAGUCAAAUGUAAAAGCUCUCUUAGUUUAUGUCUCACCUUCUCAAUCCGAUUAAGGAAAAAAUGCCUUCCAAGUUUCUCAAGAACAUCCCAACCUCACCACUUAAAAUUUAUUAUGUGCAUACUUAUUUUCUACACGAUUUUCACUGAGCGUAUAAUCCAAUUGUUUUGCUAAGGAUUAAAAAACGUCGAAUAGAUGCUCUGUGUGUCGGCCAAGUGAGAAUUAGCUAAUUCACAACCAGAAAUGUGCAUCGUGUUAUAAAACAUUGUUCAACUAAUGCAAUUAUUUUUCUCUUCAUUGAAUUCUAGGUCGAUUUAAGUAAUACAUUCGUACGCAUAUACUCCCUCCAUUUCAUAUGACCUUAAUUUGUUCAUAUAGUGCAAUAAAUUGUACCCCUCCAUCCCAAAAUAUGCUGCAUAUUAGAUUUAAGAGAAAUCAAACUUUGCAUAAUAUGGCCAUACCAAUAAUUUAUUCGCUCAAUAUACUUUCAUACAGUAUCAAUUCAGUGUUGUAGGUACAGAUAGUUUUACCCUGACUUUUAUGAAAACCGAUGAGGUACUAUGACAAUGCCAAAAAAACGUCUUAUAUUUUGAUACAGAGGGAAUAGACAAUUUUCCUAAGAUGACAUAUAAUUAAAUGAACAAAAGAAAGUUAAUGGGUAUAAUAUCAUGAUAAUGUAUCAUAAAAAAUGUUAUGCUAUUAUUUACGAUGAUAAUAAAUAAGAUCAUUAUAAUAUUAAUAUACCAUACUACUAAGCAUUACAAAAAAUAGUAUCAUAUACUGACUAGUAUCAAUGUAGGACACUAAGUUAUGAUACUAUCCACUAGUGUCAUAUGGAUGAUGCUAGUAGUAGCUUGAUUUCGACGUCGAUUUAUGUAUUGAAAAGGGGCUUUAAAAACCAUUUACACCGUGUUUGUUGCGAAUCAGCAUAUAUCCGUUUAUUUAUUGAUGAAAGGGGGCUUUAAAAACUACUACAACAUAUUUGUUGUUCUCAUUCCAGUUAAGUCAUUUCCUGAGGUUUUUUUAGGUGGGCCCACACCCAGAGGGAGUAGAGCCUUCAUAUACGCAGCAGGUCUCCCCUCCCCUCCCCUCCCUUGUUUAAAUCGGACACGCGACGGUAGCCAUACGCACGCACACGUUUCAUUAAUGGCGCUCUCCACGCUCCUCCUGCCCUCCUCCUCCUCCACCGCCGAUGCCUCCGACCGCCGCCGCGGCCAGCCACAGCAGCCAAACCACCACAGCAAGCGCAAGAAGAAGCCGCCGGCGCCACCCCCGCUCUCCCCCGCGCCCAGGACUCCCGCCCGCCGCGCCGGCGCCGGCUCGACGCCCAAGAAGAGCCCCGCCCCUCCGCGGCCCCCACCCACCGGCGCCAAGGCCAGGCUCGUGGCCGGAAAGGACCAGCACGGCCGGCAUCGCCGCGGCGGCAGCUCCAAGAAGGCGCCCGCGCGGCCGGCGUCGUCGUGGGAGCAGCUCAAGAGCCUGCUGAGCUGCCGGAGCGNNNNNNNNNNNNNNNNNNNNNNNNNNNNNNNNNNNNNNNNNNNNNNNNNNNNNNNNNNNNNNNNNNNNNNNNNNNNNNNNNNNNNNNNNNNNNNNNNNNNGAACCCUAACUAAGGUGGGCCUUAGGCCCACCAGAGGGGUGCGCCACCCUCCCCCUUGCCCUGGCCGCCACCCCUCUCCCAUCUAAGGGCUGCCGCACCCCUUAGGGGUGGGAACCCUAAGGGCUGCGCCCCCUCCCUCUCCCCCUAUAUAUAGAUUAGGUUCGGGGCUGUUUGAGACACGGUUGAAUCUCUCUCUCUCGGCGCAGCCCUGCUCCUCUCCCUCCUCCUCUCUGCCGGCGCUUGGCGAAGCCCUGCCGGGAGACCUCGUCUCUCCACCAACACCACGCCGUCGUGUUGCUGGUCUUCUUCCCCAACCUCUCCCUCCUCCUUGCUGGAUCAAGGUGCGGGAGACGUCACCAGGCUGCACGUGUGUUGAACGCGGAGGUGCCGUUGUUCGGCACUAGAUCGGAAUCGCUGCGAGUACGACUCCAUCAACCGCGUUCUAGCAACGCUUCCGCUUAGCGAUCUUCAAAGGUACGAAGAUGCUCUUACCCCUCUCUCGUUGCUGGUCUCUCCAUAGGAAGAUCUGAACAUCCGUAGGAAUUUUUUUGAAUUUAUGCUACGUUACCCAUCAAUUUGUGCUCACCAACAAACGCAAGGGCGGAGCUCGUCCAACGCACGUGGAGGUCGUCGAACAACUGCACAUUGAAAUUCACACAAUCAACACAAAUAUGAUGUUUUUAUAAUUAACAUAAUCGGAAAAUAUGUGACCUAACUCAUAAUUUACAAAAUUAUGACCCCGUCGGCUUAGUGGCGGCGAUGGUCGGUGGUGUCGGGUGUCGGUGGCGUCGAUGGUCGGUGGUGUCGGGUGUCGGUGGCGUCGGCGGUCGGGGGUUAGAGUUGUCGGGGGUCGAGGAUCACUCGCGUCGGGGGUGGGGUCUCUUUGGUCAACAAGAGGUCGAAGAGGUGUCGGGGGUCGGGGUUGGGUCAAUGGUGUCGGGGGUCGGGUAGGGGCCGGGGUCGNNNNNNNNNNNNNNNNNNNNNNNNNNNNNNNNNNNNNNNNNNNNNNNNNNNNNNNNNNNNNNNNNNNNNNNNNNNNNNNNNNNNNNNNNNNNNNNNNNNNUCUUCUUCUUCUUCUUUCUUCUUCUAGUUUAUUAUUCUCUUAUUUUCUUCUAAGUUUGACUAGAUAAAGCAUGUAGAGUAGGAGCAUACCCUUCAAAUGCAAAUCUAUCAUUUCUUUUUUGGGGCCCAUACCCUUCUUCAUCUAUCAUUUUUUUUCCUAUCUACGUUUUCUACUUAAUAAACUAACUAUCUAAUUUAACAUAAACACAGAAGAAGAAAAAACUAACUAUCCAAUUUAACAGAAAAAACACAAAAUAAACUAACUAUCUAAAUUAACUAUCUAAUUUAAAAGAAAAAACAAGAAAUAAAGCGAAAAAGAAAAAAAAAACCUUAACCUGCGUAGGGGCAGUGGGCGGCCGGGGCGGAGGGCAGUGGGAGGAGGGGAGGGCGCGCUCCGGCCCUGGGCGGCGGGGAGGAGGUGCGGGGGGGAGGAGGGGAGGGCGACCUCCGGCCGCACGGCGGUGGUGGGCCGGAGCGGCUCCGGUGGUGGCGGCGGCGGCACUCGGGUGGGCAGGGCACGGGAAUGAGGGGCGCGUGGAGAACGGGCGCGGGGAGGAGUUGCGCGGGGAGGAGGGGGAGGGCGAGCUCCGACGAGGGGAGGAGUUGCGCGGGGAGGAGGGGCGGCGGCGCUGGAGUGGGCAGUGCGCGGGGAGGGGGUUGGGCGNNNNNNNNNNNNNNNNNNNNNNNNNNNNNNNNNNNNNNNNNNNNNNNNNNNNNNNNNNNNNNNNNNNNNNNNNNNNNNNNNNNNNNNNNNNNNNNNNNNNUCAGCAGUCACAGCACCGGAGUGGCCCACCUUCGAGAGCAGCCCAACCCACCACCAUUCCCUCCUCCAGUCCCCUGCUCUGCUCCCGACCUCAAGACGGCGGCGAGACGCCCAACGGCGGGCAACGACGAGGUUCCGUUCCCCCCGGUCGGCAUGCUCAUGCUCGCCCUCUUCUCCGUCCGCUGGAACUGGAAACCACCGCCACUCACCAGGUCAGCCUCUCAUGUGCUCUGCCAGCGCCCUGCAGGUGUUUGCGUUUAUUUCCACCAGCACCAGCUUCCUUCCACCGCCACCUUCCUAGCUAGCUCCAGCACCAUGGUCACCAACCAACCACCCAGUUUGCCGACAUGCGUCCACGCACGCUUCUUUGCUUCCAGUGGAACCGCAGCUAUCUCCGUCCUAUUGUCUGUCUCUCUCGUCUCUCGGUUCGUCCCCAGAAAUUAACUAAUGACCACCAUACAUCAAGAGACGAGCUUGAGCUUGAGCUUCAAGCGAAUAAAGUUGGGCCUUGUGGGAACCAAUUCAAGUAUAAUAUGAUCAACUCGAGUCUAGGCGCUAGCCCCGGGUGCCCGUAUUUUUAACACUCAGCUUAGCAAGCUCGUUCACAUGGCAUCAUGUCUUUGCGUGCUAUAAUAUGAACAACUCGAGUCUAACUGCAUGUCUUUUAACACUCUCUUACCAAGCUCAUUCAGAUUGCAUGUGCUUGUGCCGGCCAUCGCCUUGCAGACCGCAACACCACCAACAGCGCUGCGCGAGACCCGGAACCUAGUCUUUAAUUUACUAUUGGAUUUGCAAUUAGUUCGGUUGAUCAGAUCCGGUGGACGGCGGUAGCAACGUGUAGAUGGACAUGCACAUCUUUGGCCCAAGCAUAUCGCUGGCUCGUCCGACCUGAGCUACUGAGCUCGACACUUGUUCAGGUGCGCCACGACCGAGGCUCCUUCAGUUCUCUACCAGUUUAUCAGUAGAGGCUUAGAUACUAAAGGUGCAUCUAAGCAGCCAAACCAAUUUUGAUCCUGGCCUGGCAUCAGCACCAAGCACAGCGGCAUAGGUUGGUUGAUUGGAGGCCCAGUGGUUGUUAAUUAGGACUCACAAUCUUAUUGUGAAAUAGCAAUAUCUUACAUGUUAGAGCAACUGUUAACUAGAGCCUAACGAAUCAAAAUACACACUGUAUUUUCUUUAAAAGAAAACCAGCGAGCCUCUCCCCAAUACAUACAGAGUAUUCUCUGGGAUGACAAGAGUAGUUUGUAGUAUUGAUUGGUACUGGUUUAUUUGUUGAUGAUGACAGCCCCUUGUCCUUGUUUUUUUGCUUUUCAACCUGUGUGACAAGAAGUGCUGCUAAUAGCCUGAUUAUUACUACUUCAGAACACAACUACUUUUGGCCUUUGUGCGGCUGCCUACUGUCGAUUCAAGUAUACUAUGAUCAACUUGAGUCUAGGCGCUAGUCCCCACUGCUGUCUUUUUAACACUCGCUUACCACGCUCCUUCACAUGGCAUGUCCUUGUGCGCUUGUGCCGGCCAGCGCCUUGUAACUGAUGACAGCUACCCCGGUGUGCACUGUUAAUAGUUAAUUACUUAGAUAACAGUGAGCAUCCGAUGUAGGAGUACUAGAUCAGAUCCGUUUGAGGGCUAAACACUCACUAAGCUCACCCUCUCUUUCGCACUGUCGCUCUCCACAGCUUGAUCUCUUCUCACCACGGGCGUUCGUCCUGCCCCUGCUCCCCACUCUCGACCCUGCUGCUCCACCUUGCAGUCAGCAGCGCAGCUCUCGUCGCCUCCUCACCUGCCUGCAGUGCAGUCACCUUGCACUCUCCUGUCACCACGGCGACGGUGACAGGACCAGCCAUACCACCGCUGCACAUCACCAGCAGGUACCAAAAUCAGACCCCCUCCCCCCUCCCUCUCUCUCUCUUUCUCUCUCAAAGUCUCAAUGACUCAACACAACCCCCUUUUUGUAGCUAGCUGGGACUAGGCAGACGGCAGCGGCUUCCAUCACCGGCAGACCGACACCUCGUGCGCGCGUCAACGUACAUACCUAUUCUCUCCUUUAGUUUGCAGCUACCAGCAGCCGAGAUUUAUCACCUUUUGUUGGUUCCUGGAUCAGUGCAGGUGCGCAGAACAUCCUCCAUCCCUGCAUCCGAUCAGGGGAUGGACGACGCGGCCCUUGGCGCGGCACAAUGGGUGGUGGGGAAGGCCCUAGCCCCCGUUGCGGAUGGCGUGCUGGAGGCUUGGGCGGCCAGCAGUCACUUUGGUCUCAACAUCGAGGCCCUCCGCACGGAACUGCUGCAGGUGCAGGCCAUGCUCGAACGAGCUGCCACCAAGGAGCUCGUCGGGCCGGCCACGGAGAAGCUGUUGCAGAAUCUGCAGGACUCGGCCCACAAUGCCGAGGACUUGCUGGAUGAGCUGGACUACUUCCGCAUCCACGACAAGCUCCACAACACGUACGAGGCUGCCAACGAGCAUGGCAAGGGUUGCGUCUGCGACAUCAUCCUUAAUGCUCGCCACACUGCCAAAGCUCUUGGCAAACAGAUGGCAUCAUUGUGCACGAAUUGCUUUGGUGCCAACCCUAGCCAUCCCCAACAAGAAGAUGCAAGACAAAAUGUCAGCUGUUGUGCUUGGCAGCGUGGUAGGCAGAGGUCAAAAAUGUCAGCUGGCCAUUUCCCCUCGGCGCCAAACGCCAAUCCUGUUGAUGAAGAUCGUGGCAGUGCACAAGGAACACCAAUGACUGAGUUCAAUAGGGUUGAUUUCUCUCGAAGGAUGAAGGAGACUGUAGAGCAACUGAAGCUUGGGAGUGAGGAGGUUAACAAGAUUCUGACACAUUGUGGACCUAGAACUGUCCUAGACAUUGCCCAGCGUCGCUCCCCCACCACACCUCAGAGUGCAGAGCCAAAAUUGUAUGGGAGGGAUCGUGUCAUAAAUAGCAUCGUACACGAUAUCACCGAGGGUCAAUGCUGUGACAUGGGUAUAACUGUGCUUCCGGUUAUUGGUCCAGGGGGCAUGGGGAAGACAACUCUGAUACAACACAUAUAUAACAACCAACAAGUACAGAAUCAUUUUCCAGUCAGGAUUUGGAUAUGUGUGUCGUUCAAUUUCAACCUGGGUAAGGUGCUAGAACAGAUUAAAAGGUAUACCACUUCAGUUGAAGGUGAAAACGAGUGUGUUAGGCCAGAAGAGCUGGUUGAACACAGAUUGAAACACCAAAGGUUCUUACUUGUAUUGGAUGAUAUAUGGCAGUUUACUGAUGUGGAUGACUGGAAAAAGCUAUUGUUGAUACUCAACAAGUCACAAGAGAAGGGUUCCGUGAUUCUAGUCACAACUCGGCAAAAAGAAAUAGCAGAUCGGGUUAAGGAAACUGAAGAGCCAAAAGAACUGGACGGUCUAGAACGUGGAGAAUUUAGGAAGUUAUUCCUUGUAUAUGUCUUUGAUGCUGAGCAAUAUCCAAGAGAUAAACUUCAUUUGCUUGACACCGGAGAUGAGAUCAUGGGAAAGCUAAAGGGUUCCCCUCUUGCAGCAAAGACCGUUGGUAGAUUACUGAGAACAGACCAUAGUUUGGCUCAUUGGAGAAGGGUCCUAAACAGUAAACAGUGGACGAAACAGACCAAUGGAAUUAUGCAUGCCUUGGAGCUUAGCUAUGACUUUCUCCCUUUCCAUCUGCAACGGUGUUUUUCCUAUUCUGCAUUAUUUCCUGAAGAUUACCUUUUCAGAGGCAGUGAACUCAUCAGCCUGUGGAUCGGACUAGAUAUUUUGAAACCUUGUGGUCAAAACCCAACCUUUGAAGGCAUAGGUCUGAGCAUUUUAAAUGAUUUAGUCAUUCAUGGAUUUUUCAUAGAAGAGGAAAAUAAUGGUGAUUUGCGGUAUGUCAUGCAUGACCUACUGCAUGAUUUGGCAUUGAAGGUUGCAUCUCAUGAUUGUCUCAGUUUACGUCUCCCUAAUGUUGGAUCAAUGGAAAUUCAGCCAUCCAUCCGUCACUUGUCUAUAAGCAUGGAGGACUUGGGUAAAUAUGAUGCAAUGUCUGCUGAAAAAUUGAAGAGUGAAUUGGAAGAACUGAAGACAAGAUUUAAGGUUGAAGAUUUGCAAACAUUGAUGUUAUUUGGAAAAAUGGAUGAAGGUUUUGUCAAGAUAUUUGGUGAUUUUUUUGAAGAAGUGAACGCUCUUCGUAUUCUUCAUUUGCCCCGCAUGCUUUGUCCCGUGGAGUCCAUGUUACAUAACUUUUCAAGACUUGUCCACCUACGAUACCUAUGUCUAGGGACAUGGAACAGACAGAUGCAUUUACCAGUUGGCAUUGUUAAAUUUUAUCAUCUAAGGAUUCUAAAUCUUGAAAAGUGGCACUGCAGUUGUGAUUGGCCCGAAGACAUGAGCAACCUUGCCAAAUUGUGCUUUUUUUAUGCCCCAAGUGAUGGUCAGCUUCAUUCUGAUAUUUAUAAUGUGGGAAAACUUAAACUCUUAGAAGAGUUAAAGGUAUUUCGAGUCAAUAAAAAAAGUGAAGGGUUUGAACCAAAGCAAUUAAAGAACUUGACCAAGCUGAGGGAGCUUGGCAUCUACAACCUUGAGAAAAUGCACACAGAAGAAGAAGCAGCUCAAGCAAAACUGAUAGAGAAAAAUUACCUGAGAAGGUUAACAUUGUGCUGGGAUAGUGAGCGAUCUAGUGUUGAGCCUAGCGUGGAAGCAGCGGUUCUUGAGAUCCUUCAGCCACAUGGAGAUCUUCAGGUGUUGUGCAUUAGAGGGCAUGGAGGUCCGUCUUGUCCGACAUGGCUGGGUGAUGAGUUUGCUGUUGAGGCUCUACAAUCUCUUUAUCUGGAUGGUAUUUCUUGGGAAAUUUUCCCUUCUUUAGGGAAGGCGUGGGACCUUCGUGAAUUAAGCUUUGAGCACAUUGCCAGACUGAAGGAGUUUAUCAUAGAGGAAUGCUUUUGCAGGCUAACACAACUUACACUCAUUGGCCUUGGAAGUUUGGAAAAAUGGGUUUACACAGGUGAACAAGAGUCUUCCAUGGGUGGAGAGUUGUUGCCACCAGAUUCUCAUAUGUUCCCUCAUUUGCAAGUGCUGAUUAUUAGAGAGUGCCCGAGACUGUUGGGGUUGCCUUUCCCAAACCACAUUGUUUCCCCGGAUUGGUUCCCCAAGCUACAAGAGCUUGAGGUAACCGGCUGUCCAGAAUUCUCGUCAGUGAUUCUCAUCUCCUGGAUUGAAAGUAUGCGUCGUGUCAGGAUGAAAAAUGUAAAGCUACUAGCGCAUUUUGAUUACUCAAAAUCAUGGAUUUGUGCAGGAUUGGAGAUUAUUGGAGAGGCUGAUUUGCAUAACAUAGACCAAGUGUUAGUUUUUGAUAAAGAAACUGGUCUAGAGACGCUGAUACUGGAGAAGUGCCCACCUCUGGAGUUGAAGCACCUUCUGAUGCUAACCUCGCUGAAUACACUGAUUGUACGAAGUUCAGUUGGUCUAGUUGGAUCACUUGGAGGAGGUCAGAGUGAUGUGGAAUGGCAGCUCCCUGUUGAGAAAAUCUUGAUCGACAACUUAAAUGGUAAUACUGGCGAGGAAUUGACAGAGCUCCUCCCCCACCUUCCAAAUCUCUCCAAAUUGACUAUACGGAGUUGUAAAAACAUAAAAAAGCUGGUAGUGGGGGUGGGCGUGCAACAAACAACAUCAACAUCAUCAGAGAUGGAAGGAGGUGAAAUAACAGCAGCAGCAGAGGAAGAGGAUGAUGGUGAUGGGGUGCUGCUCUUCCCACUUCAUCUCUGUGACACACUACGGGAAUUUUUGCUCUAUGACUGCACGGAGCUGAUCCUUNNNNNNNNNNNNNNNNNNNNNNNNNNNNNNNNNNNNNNNNNNNNNNNNNNNNNNNNNNNNNNNNNNNNNNNNNNNNNNNNNNNNNNNNNNNNNNNNNNNNCUCGCUGAAGAUACUGAUUGUAAAAAGUUCAGUUGGUCUAGUUCGACCACUAGGAGGGGGUCAGAGUGAUGUGGAAUGGCAGCUCCCUGUUGAGAAAAUCUUGAUCGACAACUUAAAUGGUAAUACUUAUUGGCCUUGGAAGUUUUGAAAAAUGGGUUUACACAGGUGGUGAACAAGAGUCUUCCAUGGGUGGAGAGUUGUUGCCACCAGAUUCUCAUAUGUUCCCCUUUUUGCAAGUUCUGAUUAUUAGAGAGUGCCCGAGACUGUUGGGGUUGCCUUUCCCAAACCACAUUGUUUCCCUAGAUUGGUUCCCCAAGCUACAAGAGCUUGAGGUAACCAACUGUCGAGUAUUCUCGUCAGUGAUUCUCAUCUCCUGGAUUGAAAGUAUGUGUCGUGUCAUGAUGCAAAAUGUAAAGCUACUAGCGCAUUUUUGGUACUCAAAAUCAUCCAGUGGAGCAGAAUUGGCGAUUAUUGGAAAGGCUGAUUUGCAUAGCAUAGACCAAGUGUUAGUUUUUGAUAAAGAAACAGGUCUAGAGACACUGAGACUGGACAAGUGCCCACCUCUGGAGUCGAAGCACCUUCUGAUGCUAACCUCGCUGAAGAAACUGAUUGUAGUUGAUUCAGAUUGUCUGGUUGGGCCACUAGGAGGAGGUCAGGGUGAUGUGGAAUGGCAGCUCCCUGUUGAGGAUAUCUGGAUCGAAGGCUUGAAUGGUAAUACUGGCGACGAACUGACAGAGCUCCUCCCCCACCUCCCAAGGCUCUCUGAAUUGGAAAUAUGGAAAUGCCAAAACAUAAAAAAGCUGGUAGUGGGGGUGGAUGUGCAACAAAAAACAUUAGAAGCAUCAGAGAUGGUGGGAGGUGAAAUAACAACAGCAGCAGAGGAAGAGGAUGAUGGGGUGCUGCUCUUCCCACCUCAUCUCAGUGACUCACUACUGGAAUUGGAGUUCUAUUGGUGCGAAGAGCUGGUCCUGGUGAAUCUGCCAACUCUUGUUCCUGGUGGAGGAGGGCUCCAAGCCUUGCGAUCCCUCCAGAGAUUAAGAAUACAGAACUGCCCGAAGCUCCUAUCCACCUUCUCCUUCUCCCUGGAGCCCCUCUCAAACCUCUCCUCUCUCACCAGCUUAGAAUUGGAUAAUUGUGGAGAGGAUCUGAAAUGUCAGGGCUUGUGGUCUCUCCUUACCACCGGGGGCCAGCUCAAAGAAUUAACAGUCAGGGGUAGCCAUAGAUUCUUUGCUGGUUGGGAUCCCAAUCCCAGACAGGCUUUGGAGGUUGCUGAGGGAGGUGAAGAGCAGCAGACACAGCUUGUUUUAUCCACACUGCGUGAGCUCGGGACAGAUGACAUAGCAGGACUUCUUGCUGCACCCGUCUGCAGAUUCCUCUCUUCCUCCCUCACCAAGCUGGCACUUAAUGGGUAUUGGCUUGAAGGGAUGGAGCGGUUCAGCAAGGAGCAAGAGGACGCCCUUCAGCUCCUCUCCUCCAUCCAGGAGCUAAAGUUUUUGUAUUUCAAGGACCUUCAACAACUCCCUGCAGGGCUGCGUAACCUUACCAGCCUCAAGAGAUUAGGAAUCUACAACUGCAGCGAGGUGCUAAAACAGCAGUGCAGGGGGUUGGAGGGAACCAUCCCAGGAGUCGAAAUAAUCUGAUCCAAGGUAACACAAACAUCAUUUCUUGUGUUUUUCCACUUUGCUAUUUCCUGCAAUAUAAUCCUGCUUAAUAACUCUGUGUUUGUUCACAUCCACCAUGUAGAGUUCUUCCCUUGUACAUUCUUCUAGCCUUGUAGAGCUCCCAUUCAAACAGAUGCAUGACACAAGGGCCUUGUGUCUGUGGUCUUCCUUCCUCUACUUAAAUCUGGUAAGUACAUCUAAACUGGAACUUAAUUUACUCCUGCUGUACUAUAUCUGAUAAGACAUAACGUGUGCUGAUUGGCCCUGAUCCUUCGCUACACACUAAUAACAGCAAUAUUUGGGGAUUUUUGGCAAUGUUUUAAAUAGCGGGCUACGGCAAAUAGCGGCGAGCCUCUAAAUCAGCUAUAGCGGCAUAUUUGUACAUGAUACCAUUUAGCGGCACCUUGCUGAAAAGGCUAUAGCGGGGCUAUAGCGGGCUAUUUAAAACUAUGAUUUUUGGUGGAGAAUUUGAUCUAUCUAGCAACCAGAAAUUAGAUAGAAUAGAUAAUUUAGUUGAACCAAAGUAGAUGUGAGAGGAGAAGCAGAAAAUAAGAUGGGGAUUAAUCACAUGGGGGUGCACCGAAAAUGCCUUUCUGAUUGAGAUUUCUCAUCAUGUUUCUUUGAUGCAAAGAAGGAACAACAUAUUUCUGAACUGAAGUAUAACUGGGCUCCCUCUUGGUUCUAAUUUCAGGCGGAGCCAUUACACGCAAAUUAGCUGCAGGAACCAUCAUUAGGGGUGUCCACACCAAUAUCAGUUAUAUACACUUCAACUACUUUUUCUCCUGCCAUAUUAGAUGUGAGAGAGGAGAAGCAGAAAACAAGAUGGGGAUUAAGCACAUGGGGGUGGACCUGCAAUGCAUUAUUACGAAAUUUAAUGGUGUAUAGGAUCUUCAGAAGAAUAGCCGGCAUAGCAUAUCAGUGCACGUGUGGAGCCAGUUGAGAUCAUAGGCAGUAGUAGCAGUCUCAAGGUAAUAAUGCAUUGCAGGUCAUGUACAAUUUAAGUUAUUAUUGAAAACUUGCACUGCAAAGGUAAGAAGAGAUUAUUCAUGUCUGCUCUGAGUACCAGAAGAGGGACAUAAUUAGCUAUUAACUGAAUGUUUGGUCGAAUUUCGCAGGUGUGACGACUCACUGGAGAAGGACCGCUAUACACCUGCUUGAUGACUCCAGCAUUUUAUGGGUGUGCUUAAAACGCUGCAGAGGUUCACUCAUGCGAGGUAAAUAGGCCCCGGUAAACUGCAGCUCUGCAAGAUAGCUACAUGUUCUUAUCAGAUAAAUUGACUGGGAAACAUUUCAGAGUUGGCUCCCCAAGGACGAUGAUGAAUUGACUUGCUAAGGAAGAAGCAGCAGAAACACAGCCCAGGCUAGACGAAGCGUAACCUGCAGAUGGGUAUAUCUGAAGCCUGUCAGCCUUGUUAUGCCGCUUAGAAUAAAAUUGCUGCAAUGAGUAGGUACAUAUCGUGUCUGCGAUGGUUAGUAUUUCGGUAAUUCGGUAUUGGUGUAGCCUGUGUAGCACAAAAUAUUCUGACCCUGACGGGCAGAACCACGCCAAUUACUUACACAUUCCCCUCUUUGUCAGGAACAAGCAGACCACAUCUUCUGAAGAAAUCGACGCUUUUCAUGUUGUUAACUGAAGAAAUCGACAUCCAGCGGUUGGCGCCAAACCAGGAAAUUGUCGACCGCCCGAUCUUCAUCUAACAGCAACUUACCGCCUCGCCCCGAACACAUUGCCACCCUUGAUAGUUGCAAUUUGAAUUACCGUCUGCUGCUUCAUUGUUCACCUGCCUUACUUUAGUAGCGUUAUGAAGUUACCCUUUUCAGUGGUUGUAAUGGGUAUAAAGCCCCGGAUCUGAGAGCGCUCGGGCUCAUCUUCCUGAACUUGGAGUAAACCCUAAGUCGUUCGCUAUAUUUCUCUUGCAAUCAUCC
This 85487-nucleotide long non-coding RNA is filed under the name Hordeum vulgare. RNAcentral describes it as "long non-coding RNA (HVUL_LNC002504)". The stretch from base 24105 to 24240 matches the Rfam family "MIR1120/MIR1122 microRNA precursor family". Lineage: Eukaryota; Viridiplantae; Streptophyta; Magnoliopsida; Poales; Poaceae. The record is from RNAcentral.